UCAGCAUCAUAUUCAUUGCUGUAAGGUUCUGUAAUCCAAGCGUGACAAUCAAAAUAAUGCUUCACAUAACUGCUGUUGUAAGCCUCUCCGGCGAAAGCCGUCUUGUCCAACCCAAUGCUAUCAAGUAUGGCCACCACUGAAAGCUGAGGUGGUCCCUCAAUGUUAGAGCAGCUCAUUAUGCUGAACAGAAGAAGGUGAAGACUAAGAUGAAGAAAAUACAGAGCAAGUUACAGGGCAAGUGUGUCAGCAGUGCCAGCUCAGCUAACAGCUCAGCAGAUUAGUUAAAGAUGGUUGUAAGCAUGAUGUGCAUUGUACUGAAGUUAGUUAGCUUUGAUUACAGUUAGUCUUUGGAUUAGUUAAAUGAAGUUACCGUGAUUGCAUUGUAUAUAAACAGGUGAUGCUUUGUAAUUAAAUGUUAAGCAAAAUAAAAAUCAAAGUUUGUUAAGGAAAUAUCUCCAGAAUUAUCAAUUCAUUUUCUUAGUAACCAAACAACUUUAUUUCAUUUUCUUUCAGUGCGGAGAGGCCGAAAAUUUGCUGGAGGGAUACCAAUUAAUUUGGCAGAUUUCUGAAGAGCGAAAUGUGUUUGAUCGGAGGCAUAAACAACCAACUUAGUAAUGUUGUCAAAGCCUCCUCCAAGUUUUUCCAAUGCUUUGUCUCUUGCAGCUGCCAGAGUGCAAACGAGGGAUUCACAAGUGCUUCCGUGCAGGACACCACCACCUGUUCCGGAAAACAAAAAUGAAGAAGGAAGCUUGAGCAUUUUCCCCAUCCAAUCCAUCACAAUGGAUUCGAGUUCAGUUGCUACCGGAGAAGCGAGCCAGUUGAAGCCAACCACGUUGAACCCUGAACAAAGCAUCUCACCAAGAAAGCCAGCAGUGCUUGCAUUUGCUUGGAAAUAACCAAAGAAAUUGGGGCUUUGCCAGUGAGUGAGGCCAGGUAAGAUGCAGUCGGUGACAUCUUUUAGAAUAUCAUCCAAUGACUCUGGGGAAUGCGGGGCUGUGUCAGGCAACCGAGCCGACAAAUAACCAGGCUCUACUUUGCUUUGAACAGGGUAUUUCUCGAUGUUUUUGUAAUAAUCAGCAAUGAAAUCGAUAACAGCUUUCGAUUCGUCAGAGAAGCUCUUUGGCAUUACUCUUAACACAUGAGGCAAGAAUGGAACAAAAUCAUAAUACUAAAGAUCUUUUUAGUGCAAACUAUGGGAUGAUGAAUGCUAACUACUCUCAGUUUAGAGGAAAUAAUAAGAGAGGUGGUUAUAGUGGAUAUCAAGGGCAAUUUAAUGCUGGAAAUAGGAAUCAAAAUGGAGGAAGAGGAAUGUCUUUCAAUUCAUUCUCAAGAGGUUUUCCAGCUGGUGGAUAUACUGGUAAUGCUGGUGGCAGAGGACAGCAAAUGAAUGCAUAUGCUUAUAAACCUGUGCUUAACAACAGGCAUAAUUUCAAUGUGAAUCAUGGCUCAACUUCAAUGCCCAAUGGAAAUGGAUCUGAUGAUAAUGUGCUUAUCUGUCAAAUCUGUCAUAAAGCUGGACAUGCAGCUGAUGUUUGUUGGCACAGACACUUUGAUGGCUAUGCUCCUCAACCCAGACAAUUUGGAAGGGGCAGAGGGCAUAAGUCUGCUUAUAUGGCUAACUUUGAUCCACAAAUUGGCUUUACUUCACAAUUUGAAGAUUCGUUUGCUACAGAAUAUCCUGGUUAUCAUGGGUACCAUCCACCUGAUAUGAAUGCAUCAGUUGCAUCAGUAAGUCAUCACUCAUCUGAUAUGCAUUCUGUACCUGGAGCAGCUUAUAUUGCAAAUUUUGAAGGACCAGCUGAUGAAGGGUGGUAUCUUGAUAGUGGAGCUACGCAUCACAUCACUAACAGCAUGGCCAAUAUGCAUAUCAGAGAUCAAUUCACUGGAGCAGAUCAGCUCAUUAUUGGAAAUGGACAAGGUUUGCCCAUAACUCAUGUUGGUGAUGCAUCAUUUCUCUUUAAAAGUUCCAAUUCUACACACAAACACUCACCUAUAGUACUUAAAGAUAUUCUGUUGGUGCCUUCCUCUCAGUUAUCAUCAUCUUUUCUUUCUCAUAUGUGUUCCAAUAAACCUUUGUCUAUGCUUUCUUGUUGUUGUUUCAAUUCUGUUCCUUCUGGAGUAUUUACAGAAUCUUAGAAAUCAUGUAAUCAAACUGAUGAUUCAUCUUGUAAAACUUCAGUUAAUAAAGCUAUUUUGCUUCAUAGAAAGUUUGGUCAUCCCAAUCAUCAAAUAUUAACUCAUAUACUCAAAACAGCAAAAUCUAUUCAUUUACCUGCAUAUCAAAAGCAACAAAUGCAUCAGUACAUCUGUGAGGCCUGUCAAAUGGGCAAAACACAUAAACUUCAUUUUCCAAUUACUGAAACCAAAACCUCCAAAACUCUAGAACUUAUACACACUGAUUUAUGGGGUCCUUCUCCCAUUAUUUCUAGAGAUGGUUAUCAGUAUUAUAUAAGUUUUGUAGAUGACUACAGCAGGUAUACAUGGAUUUAUCCUUUGAAGCUAAAGUCUGAGGCAUUAGAAGUCUUUAAGCUCUUUAAACUGCAGGUUGAAAAUCAGUUUAGCACAACCAUUAAGAUGAUGCAAUCUGAUUGGGGGGGAGAGUAUAGACCAUUCACUGAGUUUUUAAGCCAAUUUGGUAUCAUCUUUAGACAUCCUUGUCCUCACACUCAUCAUCAAAAUGGGUUAGUUGAAAGGAAGCAUAGACAUAUUGUUGAAUUGGGUCUGACUCUCUUAGCUCAAGCUCAACUUCCCUUUAAGUUCUGGUGGGAUGCAUUUCAUACUGCUGUAUAUCACAUCAACAGACUUCCAUCUCCUGUUUUGCAACUUUUAACCCCAUAUGAAAAGACAUUCAAACACAAACCUGAUUAUGAUUUUCUCAGAUGUUUUGGGUGUUCUUGUUAUCCUUACUUGAGAGAUUACAAUAAACAUAAAUUUGCCUACCAUUCUAGUAAGUGCAUAUUCAUUGGUUACAGUCCUUCACAUAAGGGCUACAAAUGUUUACACCCUUCAGGUCGAGUCUAUGUGGCAAGACAUGUUACCUUUGAUGAAUCAGUUUUUCCUUAUGCCACUGAGUUUGUUUUUCAUAGUCAUGCUAAAACUGAUUCUCAAAUUUCUCAUUCCCAUACACCACAGCAAAUCCAUCAUAUCUCUUCUUUGCCUGUCAAUAACAGCACUGGUAAUCUGAACUCUGUAAGAUCUGGAAGCAGCAGUUCAAGUCACUCAGAUCAUCUAGAACAGACAGCAACUGAUCAGAAUUCACAACAAGCUACCAUAAAUGACAGGUCACCUUUUCAUACAUGUCCAACAAUUGUUGAAUCUAUACAAAAUAUUCCAAAACCUCCACAUCACUCUUUGCCUAUACAAAGUCACCAUCCUAGCAACACUUCUUUCUAUCCAUAUACACAACCAAAUACACAUCAGAUGAUAACCAGAAGUAAAGCAGGGAUUUUCAAACCCAAAAUUUAUACUGCUGUGCUUACUCACAAGGAACCAGAUACUGUGCAAGAAGCAUUAAAUGAUUCAAAGUGGCUACAAGCUAUGAGGGAGGAAUAUGAUGCCUUGAUUAAGAAUAAUACAUGGACAUUGGUUCCAAGACAAGCUGAUCAGCAUGUGGUUGGAAAUAAAUGGGUGUAUAGAAUCAAAUAUAAUACAGAUGGAAGUGUAGCUAAGUAUAAAGCUAGACUUGUUGCAAAGGGUUUUCAGCAAGUGGCAGGGAUUAACUAUUUUGAGACAUUUAGCCCAGUUGUGAAGUCAGCUACAGUUAGAGUAAUACUUAGCUUGGCAGUGAUGAAUCAGUGGAGAAUAAGGCAAGUGGAUGUCAAUAAUGCCUUUUUGAAUGGAGAGCUAACAGAAGAAGUUUUCAUGUCUCAACCUGAUGGCUUUAUUGAUGCUCAGAGAUCUGAUUUUGUAUGCAAAUUACACAAGUCUCUGUAUGGGCUCAAGCAAGCUCCUAGAGCCUGGUAUGACAAGCUUAAAGGAUGCUUAAUAAGCUGGGGUUUCACUACUACUAGUUCUGACACCUCAUUGUUUGUUAGGAAGAUCAAGACAUCUAUGAUCAUAGUUCUUAUAUAUGUUGAUGACAUACUGAUCACAGGUCCAAAUACUGAGGAGCUGGAAGGUUUUAUAACUGAAUUCAGCAAAACUUUUGCUCUAAAGGAUCUGGGAGUGUUAUCCUAUUUCCUUGGAAUUGAGGUAUUAUAUGAUGCAGAUUGUAUGUACUUGUCACAGAGAAAGUAUAUCAGAGAUUUGUUAUCGAAGGUAGAAAUGACUGAAUGUAAGGGCAUUGAUACACCCAUGAGUACUGGCUCUAAACUGCAAAAGAUAGUUCAGGGGGAACUUGGAUACUAUCUUGAAGAUCCAACUCAUUAUAGGAGCAUAGUUGGAGGAAUGCAGUACCUGAUACUUACCAGACCUGAGAUUGCGUUUGCUGUAAACAAGCUUAGUCAGUAUGUAGCUGCACCAACACUACAACAUCUAAUGGCAUGCAAGAGAGUUAUAAGAUAUCUAAAGGCAACUCAAGAUUAUGGUUUAAAAUUUUUCAGAGAAGGAAGCUUAACACUCACUAGUUUUACUGAUGCAGAUUGGGCAUGUGACUUAGAUGAUAGGAAAUCAGUUGGUGCUUAUUGCAUUUAUUUAGGCAAUAAUUUGAUAUCCUGGUCUUCUAAGAAACAAUCAGUGAUAACCAGAUCAAGUGCCGAGAGUGAGUAUAGAGCUUUGGCAUCAGUGAGUGCAGAGCUGACAUGGUUACAAUCCUUAUUUUCUGAGUUGGGAAUAAGUUGCAUAGAAAAGCCAAUCAUAUGGUGUGACAACAUUAGUGCCACUGAACUAGCAAAGAACCCUGUGUAUCAUUCAAGAACAAAGCAUAUCGAAAUUGAUAUGCACUUCAUUAGGAAUAAGGUUCUUGCUGGUGAGUUGAUUAUUCACUAUGUACCAAGUGAAGAACAGAUUGCAGACAUAAUGACCAAGCCUCUUUCAUUUGUAAGGUUUAACUACUUGAGGUCCAAACUCAAUGUCCAUCUUUGUCCUCUGAGUUUGAGGGGGGCUGUUAGAGCAGCUCAUUAUGCUGAACAGAAGAAGGUGAAGACUAAGAUGAAGAAAAUACAGAGCAAGUUACAGGGCAAGUGUGUCAGCAGUGCCAGCUCAGCUGACAGCUCAGCAGAUUAGUUAAGAUGAAGAUAUACCGGCUUCAGCUUUAGAAGUUUUGAUGCGAUCAAUGAUUUUGGAAUCCAUGUGCUUAAGUUGUUGCAUCCGUUGCUUAAUAUCAGUGAUUCUGCUUUGGAGUCCUUGCAGAGCAUCAAAAAUGUCCUUGCUGCAGCUGCUUUGAGUCUUCUGUUGAGUGAUGCUGUUGAUGAAUGUGUCAAUCACCUUCUCAGAUUCAUACGUAAACCAAUUGAUUUCGUCCAUAACGGUCGCCAGAUCUGGGUCAUGACUUUCCUCCUCCGCCAUUUUUUCGAACAGAAGGAGGGAGAUAUCAUCUUCAAAUUCGCUCAGCCAAGAAGUAACGAUUUCAACCUCCGCAUGAAGGUUCUGAAUAGGUUGUUUUGCAGCAUCAGGCAACGUGACUUCUUCACCAGCUAACACCCUUCUCAGCCUCUCUGAAAAUAGUCUGAAGUUGAUGUGCAUAUCUCCUCCUCUCUCAGAUUCACCCUGAAAUCAGUCCUGUAGCAUGCAAAGAAAUAAUUAAAAGAAAAACAUGCUUUAAAGCUCUCAAUUCAAACAUUAGUGCUGGCUCCCAUACCUCCCUUCUCUUAGCUAGCUCUCCGGUCAAGAAGUUGAAUCAAGAUCGUUGACUCUCAGAUUAUAACAGAUCAAGGAAGAAUCUUACAAUAAUCUCGUCUCCCAUAUGAUCAAGACCAAUUUGUUUUAUACAUCCACUUUUAAGAAAGGAAGGGUAAAAACAAUUCCACUGGGACUAUAAAAGCUUGUCUGAAAAGAAAAGAACGGAGCAAGCACAAGAGCGUUAUCAAUUAUUUAAUAAUUAAUAACUAAGCCGUGGAAAAAUGCAAAAUCAUGUCAGGUGUUACUUGUUAAAUUUAUUGCGAGACUUGCAUGUAUCUAUAUCACAAAUAAAAUUUGUAUCCCAGGGUUAUAAAUGUAAAAUUACUCAAAUAAAUAUGCAUUCUUAAUCAUGUGUGAUGCUGUCUUAUUUCUGAGAAAGUACUAAAUCGUUUGUAAAAUUUUAUAGUUAAUAUAUGUUCAAUUUUCUUUUUAGCAUUCUUUUUUAAGAAAUGAAAAAUGAUAAAGAAUUCUAACAACGGGUGACAAAAAUAAUAAUAAAUUGUGCAAUGUUACAAUGUUAAUUGAAAAAUAGUUAUAAUUUUUUAUUUAACAUUAUAAAUAAAAUCUAUAGUUGUUUUCUCACUACUGUAUCAUUUUUUAAUUCAAAUAUCAGUAUUAUAUGAGCUCUCACCUUUUAGAAAGUAUUAUAUCAUAAGACACUAUUUAUAAUUAUUUUCAUUUGAGCCCUUAGUGUUAAAAAUAUAACAAUCCAUCAAUGAAAUCAAUGAUAAUGGAAUUCUAAGUAGGAAUGGCAGAAAAAUCAAGUCUAGCUAGAGCAUGUUUUCUAAGUAUUCUGGCUGGUCUUGGGCUCCGGCUAAAAAGUUCGAACUCAGCUCGAAAGCCAACAUUGUAUAGUGGGAAUCUAGGACCAAUCACAUGGAGAUGAUUUGUAAAUUUUUGUACACAAUUUUAGUAUGCAUAUCAGAAGAGAGGCAGCAAUCUUAGUUGAUACUUUUAUUUGACAUAUGAUGUAAGAAACGGAACAAAGAUUGUAACGCCACAAAUUUUGCAAUUCAGCAUCCAAAAUAUCACUAGAACUUGCAAGACAAGCUUUAAUCUCUUCAACAAAGGUCGAAUUGCGGGCAGGAACACAAACGCAGAGAUGGGUAUCAAGAUCGCAUUCGAAACGACUGACAGGGAUUGUCACAGUCGGCAUUGCUUUUACAAGUGACUGCUUUUGAUUCCGGUUGAGCAUCAACUGCCGGCAUGGAAAUAUUAAACAACACACUUGCAUAUAUAAAUGCCAAACAAUUAAUUAGCCUAAUGCUAAUAACACGCCUGCAUAUAUAAAUGCCAGCCAAUUAGUUGUCAUAUUAUAGUUAAUUAUGCAUGCAUUAAAAAGAUGAGGAAAAUAAGAUUAAGGAACAAACAUGAGGCCACCAACAGAGUGAUGAAAAAUGUGGAUUUAAGUUUAAGUUCCAUAAUGUUUAUGUAAGCAAAAGUGCAAAACUGAGAGUCUGUGGAUAAUGAUAUUAUUAAAUUUAAUAUGGGUUUGGUUUGCAUAGAUUCAUGAAUUUCUCUAGACAUUAUAUGCGCCGGGGGAGAAUUUAAUCCACUUGACAACUAAAAAAUUCAGAAAUCAAACCUCGAUUUGACAAAUUAGAAAUUUAAAAAUUAAAUUUUUUUCCAUAUGCAUGCUCUCGUUUUUCUCUCUAUCACAGCGGUAUAAUUGGAAUUAUUGUUAUGACAAUUUGAUUCUCUUUUCUUACAUGUUGCAGGAGUCAUGUCCUCCCGUUGAGGUGACAAAAUGACUAUGGAUUGUGCCUGAGUGGAGUACACCACCAGUAUGAUUAUCUCACUCCCUUUCGAGGUUUUGUUGCAGUAAUUUCUCAUCUUUUAUAGGGUACCCUGCUCUUCAUUGCUUCUGUAGAAGUCUUAUGAGCUAAUUGCUUCCGAAUCUUUAAAUUUCUUCAAUGAGGAACCUUUGUUUGGAAAAUUGAUUUUCAUCUGAUCCGAGAAGGGUGCUUUGAAGCAGAGAGCUUACGAAAUGCAGCAUGCAAAAUCAUGACUACAAUGCAGUAGACUAAUUGUUAGCUCACUCUAAGCAAAGGCAACGUUCAUAAAAGAUGAAGAAGAGUUUCUAAUAUUUACCAACAUAACCGAUAGCAAGUGCACAGAAUAGAGUCAUCUGAACAUUCAGUAGCAUAAGAACAACCAAUGUAGCUGCAAAGAUGAGAUGUAAUUACUACUGUGAAGUCGACGAAAGAAUUCCACUAUUUAUCAACAACUAGACUGUAGUAUAAUGGAAAGACCUGCCAAGGAAAGUUUAAAGCAAAACUCAUCCAGAGAAGGCAAGAACAUUAGUAUAGAAGCAGAAGUGCACACAUUCAUAUUUAGGGGUAACGAGAAAUGUAUCAUAAAUCACUUGCUCUAGCACAGUACUAUUUCAUGCUAAUUUUCUUGCUCGUUCUAUGGUUAGGACCCUUUGAGCGGAAAGAAAUCAAAUCACAAUGCUUAUUCUAGCUAGAAACUCCUGAAGUCCAUGCUUGAACCCUGUGUCAAUUGGUCAUAGACUCCAUAUUCUCCCAAAAGUAUGACAUUUUUUUCUUCCACUGAUUAAUGGAACUUAAAACUGUUUUGCCACAAUCUUAGUCAUACAAACCCUUUCUCUUUACAUUUCUUAAGGUCAUCAGACCCAAACCAGAACAUGUUUACUUCCUAGGAGAAAUCUUAAAUAUCUUAAUCAAUACGGAACUGUGUAGUUCAGACAGCAUUCCCUUGGCCAACUAGACGUAACGAUUUGCAAUGUCCUAGUAAGUCUAUGAGUGGAACUAACAGUGCCCUUCCAAUACGGAAAAACAAUCGUCAAAAACAAUUUUUUUACCCCAUCAACCACAUACAGUAUAAGACUGUAGCUGGUUAUCUCAAUAUCGGCUGCCAUUUUGAUUCAAAGAAGAAAUAUUUGAGAACUCACCACAUUGUGCAAUGCGAACCAGAACCUGCCUAAUCACAGGAUGCCGAUCCCAGUUCCAUUUGUCACUACAGAACUUGAAAAAAUCCCAAAGUGCCAAACUUGAUAUCAACCCAACAAGUGCAAGUGGCAUCUGGUAUCUAUAAGAUGGAGACAGAGACAAUGUCACUAGACAGAUGAUACACAGAAAAAAAAACUUGUAAUACAACUAACACACACAAUACUAUGAUUAAAAAAAUAUCUCCAUCAGUUAAAAACUAAACAAUGGAAAGGCGAGACUCUAUGAACUAAUGCCCUGAACCAGCACAAAUACCAAUUCUCCCGGAGUAUUUUAAGUAUUCAUAUAGUUGUUUCAAAGCACAGGAAAAAAAAAAACAACGCAAAAUUGCAAACUCAUAGUGUUGUUAUUUAUCAAUUGAAACCCAGAAAAAAAAAUCUGUAACUUAAUUAUUCAUUUAAGCAGAUUGAAACCCUUACAAACACAGGUAAGCAAAUCAAAAUUAUCAUUAAAAAUCCAAUCAAGGCCACAUAAAUCUAAUCACAUCCAAAAGCAUCCCAAAAUCUCGUUCAAUAUUCAUACACCCACAUACAAAAACCAUUCAAAAAUUUAAUUUUUUUUAACUCAAAAUAAUAACUCAGGAAAGGAAACAAAAUUCUUACAGAGAGCAAGCAAAGAAGAGGAUGAACAAAGAAGCAUAAUUCCUGGCAUAACGUUUAACAUUCUCAUGAACUCUCAACUUAAGGGUGUGUGGGGAAGAUGGAAACGAGUAAGACCCAAGAGCCCCAAUAAACUCACGGGUCCAAGACGGGGUGUUGGCUGAGAAAUCAUCAGUGGUGAGUUUAGCAAAAGGGUUGGCGGUAAGAAGAGAGAUAAAGGUGUAUAAAUAAUGUAAAAGGCUGUGAGUUAUGGUCGUGGCUGUGGCUGUUUCUUUGGUGGAGGCUGUUGUGACGGCGGUGGCCGAUGUCGUGGUGGCGGUGUCAAGGCUUUCGAGGUAGCCGGAGUCGCGUAGCCAUGACUCGAAUGCUGGGUCGGUUACGUUUAGAGAUAACGGGUUGGAUGCGAAUACCUUCCCCAUUGCAAAAAGUUAUCCAAUUUCGGUUGAACGAGGGUCACUAAAUUAUCAAAAUAUUAAUAACUAAUUUGUAACAAAAUUCAUAUGAUAUGAUAUGAUGAUAUAGGCCUUGGUUAGUGGUUUUCUAAACAAUUUAUUAUUAUUAUUAUUCUCUUAAUCAUUCCAAGUUUAAAUUUCGAAGAGGUAGGGGAUAGAAAUAAAUUAUAUUAGGAUUUGUCGAUUUUUCAAUAAAAACUUCAGUAUUAUAUGCUUAAUUGUUUUAAAGAAUUUUCUUUGAGUAUUGUUUUGAGUAAAUAAAUGUGAUUAAUUUAACAUGCUUAAGGAUUUUUAGUAUUUUAAAGACCAUACAAAGUAUAACUUAAUUUUUUAAAUUUAAUAGAUGAGUGUGUAGAACAAUAAAGUAUUUAAAGUAAUUAUUAGAGGAUAAAUAGGCAUAUCCAAUACUUUUAUUUUUUUGAAAAGAAAGUAAAUCUUUCAUAAAUCACAACACCUCAAAUACAACUUGAAUCUCGACUGGAAUAGUUCCUAGCCACAUAGAAGAAGAAUUUCUUCCCAAAGCUAACUUAGCUAGAGAGUGGGCAUAAGCAUUACAUUGACUUGUUAUGUGAUGAACAACUUUUUGAAAAACUUUCAACUGAUUUCGGAUCUCCAGAAUUGUCCAAAAAAUUUCUGUUUUGCUGCUCUUGGUGUUGUUUACAAGUUGAACCACCUCUAAGCAAUCUGACUUAAUGAUCAAGGAAGUUAAAUCUGCUUCUUUUGCCAACUGAAGCCCCCAUUGCACAGUCUCUGCCUCAGCUAAACUGACUGGUCCCUUAAGAUGAAUUUGAUUAAUACCGGCUGCAAUUAUCUUUCCAUUAGAAUCUCUAAUCACUGCUCCCACGCCUGCAAUCUGAUUCUUAGUAUUGAUGGCAACAUCCACAUUAAUUUUGAAAAUAUUUUCAGGGGGAGGGAACCACUUCUGUUGUUUCUCUCCUCUGGGGUGGGCAAUAUGAGAAGGCUUUGUCUUUCUUACUCUUUGAAAAGCUGAGCCUUUACAACAUGAGCAGGGAGGGGACUCCACUUUUGAUGCAUCAUAGAUAGUUUCUUCUCUGCAAAAACUUUGCCCAAAUUUCUUAAGUCUCUUAAAGGCAUCUAUCAGAUCUGCCUUUGCAACACUUUCCACAAAGUAGAAACUUUUCUUCUCAAAAUUAUGCAUCAUAAAAUACAAAACCAAGCAAAAUCAAAUGAACAACCCCAAAUUUGUAAAUCUGGGUAGACAAACAAUAAUAAACCACCACAAAUCUCUAGAUAUGAGUGGAAGAAUACACCACCACAGAUUUGAAAAUAUGAGUGGAAGAACAAAACCACCACAGAUAUGAGGAUCUGAGUGGAGAAAAUAAGUAAAGAAAAUAAAAAAAGAAGGUUUCGCUAGAAAACCAACUCAUAGAGCUGAUUUUUCGGCGAAAGAAGAAGGUGAAAUGUUACUGGAUGUUCAGAGCCUUUUUUUUCUGGAAAGGCAUAUCCAAUACUUUAACUUAUGGUUGGUUGUUUUUUUCACUGAAUUUUCUAAUUUGAAUUGAAUCAAUUACAAGUUGUGACUCGAGCUCAAGAGAGUUGAAGAGAAAGAAAAAGAAAAAUGGAGUCCUUCUCUUGUCCCUUUUAAGUGAAUAUAUUUAGGUUGGGUACCGCAGGGUAGUUUAAUCUUUUCUACUGCAUGGCACCUCUUUACUCAAAUAUCAAAUGAGCUUGCUCUUCACGUGACACCAAAUUUACCAAACUUUAUUUUUUUCCUUGAUUGGCUCGUGUAGGACAGUCGAGGUGUCAUUUGUUUUUUCACCGUUCAACUUCUUAUUUAUUAUUCUUAUACCACAUGUCAGCUUUCAACUAGUCCAUAAAUAUCCUUCAAAUUUUACCUCCAAACAAAUCUAAUAACCUCUUGAAAACAAAAAAUUAAAAAUUUACUCAAUCAUUCAAUGUUAAGGAAAUUGGCCAAGUAAUGGAAUGCUAACAAACCAAAUUAAAUUUCUACAUUUAAUUUUUUUUCUCAUGCAUGCUCUACUAAAAAUAUUUGAUGUGGUGCUAAUGCUCACUGCAAAGUAUAUAUUAGAUGCUCGUGCAUAUACCGUAGGCUAUAGCUAUACAAAAACUUAUACUUGCGUUCUCGAAUGCACACACUUGCACGCAAAAUUCUAUUAUUGAGAGUCGCUGCUUUCUAUAACACGGCCUUUUUCUAGCCUUUCAUUAGACGUGGUUUCAAUUUAUUUAACCAUUAGAGGGACACAUCAGUAGUCACAAAAAUGCCCCUCUAAAUGGCAAUUCUUUUAAUCAUUUUGCUGCCGCUCUUCCUUCCAGUCCCAAGUACAUAGCCCAAACUUCAAUUUUCUCUGGGAAGGUAAUGAAGCGUGGCUUAGUCUCAGUAAUAUGUCUUCCAUAUUCCAUGGAAUGAGCCAAAAGAGGAGUACUUCUAUAGUUAGUAGCAACUAGCAAUCAUAUUGAUUCUUAAAGGAAUUUUCUACAUCAGAUAAAGAAAGAGCAGCAGAGAACAAAGCUGUUAAUCAAUCAACACAUGUAAAGCAGUAUUAGUAUUUCUGCCUUAUUGUAGUGCCUAAGCGGGUAUUAGGAUUUCUCCACAAGAACGUUUACUAAGACAUUCAGCCAAGUGUGAAGUUCAUCAAUAAUUAAUCUUUUCUGGAAAUAAACGGAACAUAUUGAGUGCCAAACUUGCCCAGCCUUUGAAACAGGAUUUCAGAGCAAGCAACAGUGUUGAAGUCAACAAAUUGUUGAAAAAUAAUAAUAAUUAAAAAUUAUAUUUUUAAUUAUUUUAUUCUUAGCAUAGUAAUUCAUUUCUCCUAUAAAUAGUUAAGGAUUUCAUUCAUUUGAAAUCGUCCCAAAAUUGUUAAGCUUAUAAGUUUCUAAGCUUUUGAGGAAAGUGAGAGAAGUGUGUCUGGGGAAUUUAUCUUUCCUGCAGAGUGUGAGAGUACUGGGUAUAUUUGGGUUUCUGGGAAGUGAGAUUCGUUACUCAAAUAUUGUACUCUAUUAAUUGUUAAAUAAACAAUUAUUCUUUCUUGCCUCCGUGGAUGUAGGUUUAAUUACCGAACCACGUAAUUCUUGUGUCCUUUAUUUUUCUAUAAUUAUUUGGUGCGCUUGAUUCCGCAUUCCGCGCACAACAAGUGGUAUCAGAGCCGAAGGUUCUUACUUGGGGGGAUACGGUACUGUUCACGUAUACGGUACUAUUCCCGUAUUCGGCACUGUUCACAUACGGUACUGUUCACGAAUACGGUGGAGACGGCCAUUUAUACUUGGGAGACAGUCUAUUGUAAGUAGUGUAGAUGUAAGUUUAAUUACUGAACCACGUAAAUUCUUGUGUCCUUUAUUUUUCUGUAAUUAUUUAGUGCGCUUGAUUCCGCAUUCCGCGCACAACAAGUGGUAUCAGAGCCGAAGGUUCUUACUUGGGGGGAUACGGUACUGUUCACGUAUACGGUACUAUUCCCGUAUUCGGCACUGUUCACAUACGGUACUGUUCACGAAUACGGUGGAGACGGCCAUUUAUACUUGGGAGACAGUCUAUUGUAAGUAGUGUGUAUUUUUGCAUGUCUAGGAAAGUUCUGUUAACAAAGGCGAUAAGAGUCUAAGGAUUCUGGUUUUUAAUUGGGAUCGAGUUCCUGUCCAGUUUUCUGAGAACUUUCCUGGUGCAUUUAUUCACGCGAAAUUAACAUCAUAGAGACUAUUUUUCAAGUGGAAAUAGUUCGUUGAGAAAAUAGUAGAAGGUGAAACUUCCAGAAUUGGGGAGAGAUCUACCGAGACUAUUUCAGGAGACACUUCAGGUGGGAUGCGAGAUUUGUCAAAUCGCUAUUCAGCACCUGUUAUAGGAGGCCAGAAGAUCGAUGUUGAAAAGUUUGAUGGGAAAAUCAACUUCGGCAUGUGGAGGCGCGAAGUUAUGGAUGCCCUUAUUCAAAUCGAUCUCGAUGUUGUUAUGAAAAAUAAAAGAUGAGUAUCGUCUGAAGCUUUGGUGAGCAAAGAUUGGGCGAUGGAGAAACAAAAGAAGCGUGGUGGAAAGAAUUCUCGAUCCAAAUCGAGAAGCAGAAAUAUAGCUCGAGAUGAGUGUGCCUUUUGUCAUGAAAAGGGCCAUUGGAGGAAAGAUUGUCCAAAGGCUCAAAAGAGAGAUGGGAAGAAACCAGCAGCAGCAAACAUGGCACGGAAAGAUGAGGGCUCUGAUUAUUCACUAAGUAUUACUCCUGCAGCAUACGUGGCUAGUUCGAGCGAGUGGAUACUUGAUACUGGAGCAACUUAUCAUUUGUGUCCUAUUAAGGAAUGAUUUACGGAUUUUCGUAAUUUGGAAUCCGGUGCAGUUGUGAUGGGGAAUGAUCAACCUUAUCGCACAAUGGGGAUAGGAACAAUUCGGCUCAAAAUGUUUGAUGGAAUGAUCAGAGAACUCAAAGAGGUUAGAUUUGUUCCAGCUUUAAAGAAAAAUCUAAUUUCUGUGGGUGCUUUGGAAGCUAAAGGCUACAAGGUUACCAUUGAAGAUGGUAUAAUGAAGUUUACACAUGGGGCUAUGGUGAUUCUGCAAGGGGUUCGGCGUCACAAUCUGUACUAUUUGAAGGGAGGUACAACUGAUGAAGCAAAUGUUGUUGAAGCGCAUAGUGACACCACCAAGCUAUGACAUGUACGACUGGGACAUGCUGGAGAGAAGUCUUUGCAAACUCUGAUGAGACAUGGACUCUUAAAAGGUACCAAAACCUGUAAAUUAAAUUUAUGUAAGCAUUGUGUAGUAGGCAACUGAUGAAGCAAAUGUUGUUAAGGCGCACAGUGACACCACCAAGCUAUGGCAUGUACGACUGGGACAUUAAGAGUCUAAGGAUUCUGGUUUUUAAUUGGGAUCGAGUUCCUGUCCAGUUUUCUGAGAACUUUCCUGGUGCAUUUAUUCACGCGAAAUUAACAUCAUAGAGACUAUUUUUCAAGUGGAAAUAGUUCGUUGAGAAAAUAGUAGAAGGUGAAACUUCCAGAAUUGGGGAGAGAUCUACCGAGACUAUUUCAGGAGACACUUCAGGUGGGAUGCGAGAUUUGUCAAAUCGCUAUUCAGCACCUGUUAUAGGAGGCCAGAAGAUCGAUGUUGAAAAGUUUGAUGGGAAAAUCAACUUCGGCAUGUGGAGGCGCGAAGUUAUGGAUGCCCUUAUUCAAAUCGAUCUCGAUGUUGUUAUGAAAAAUAAAAGACACUUGUAUAAUGAAGAAAUUUAGGAUCGUAUGAAUGAAAAAGCCUGUGGUCAGAUCAGAUCUUGUUUGACCAAGGAGGUGAAAUACUUGGUGAAAGAUGAGGAGUGUGCGGUGACUUUAUGGCGUACAUUGGAGGAGAAGUACCUGGUGAAAAGUCCUGAAAAUCGCCUUCAUGCAAUGAGCCAAGUAUAUGGUUUUCGAAUGAAGCCUAGGGUGUCAAUGCACGAUCAUGUUUCAAGAUUUGAAAAGUUACUUGCUGAUUUGAAGAAUCUUGAUGAAGAUAUUAAGGAUGAAGUCAAGGCUAUAAUUCUGUUACACUCACUACCAGAGGAAUAUAGCCAUUUUGUGACUACUUUGAUAUAUGGGAAGAGUGUGAUCGUCUUUAAAGAUGUUUGCACAACAUUGACUAGCUUAGAGAUUCGGAAUAAUGAUAAAAAUUCUGAACGAGCAUCNNNNNNNNNNNNNNNNNNNNNNNNNNNNNNNNNNNNNNNNNNNNNNNNNNNNNNNNNNNNNNNNNNNNNNNNNNNNNNNNNNNNNNNNNNNNNNNNNNNNNNNNNNNNNNNNNNNNNNNNNNNNNNNNNNNNNNNNNNNNNNNNNNNNNNNNNNNNNNNNNNNNNNNNNNNNNNNNNNNNNNNNNNNNNNNNNNNNNNNNNNNNNNNNNNNNNNNNNNNNNNNNNNNNNNNNNNNNNNNNNNNNNNNNNNNNNNNNNNNNNNNNNNNNNNNNNNNNNNNNNNNNNNNNNNNNNNNNNNNNNNNNNNNNNNNNNNNNNNNNNNNNNNNNNNNNNNNNNNNNNNNNNNNNNNNNNNNNNNNNNNNNNNNNNNNNNNNNNNNNNNNNNNNNNNNNNNNNNNNNNNNNNNNNNNNNNNNNNNNNNNNNNNNNNNNNNNNNNNNNNNNNNNNNNNNNNNNNNNNNNNNNNNNNNNNNNNNNNNNNNNNNNNNNNNNNNNNNNNNNNNNNNNNNNNNNNNNNNNNNNNNNNNNNNNNNNNNNNNNNNNNNNNNNNNNNNNNNNNNNNNNNNNNNNNNNNNNNNNNNNNNNNNNNNNNNNNNNNNNNNNNNNNNNNNNNNNNNNNNNNNNNNNNNNNNNNNNNNNNNNNNNNNNNNNNNNNNNNNNNNAAGUCUUUGCAAACUCUGAUGAGGCAUGGACUCUUAAAAGGUACCAAAACCUGUAAAUUAAAUUUCUGUGAGCAUUGUGUAAUAGGCAAGAAAACAAGGGUUAAGUUUGGUACGGCUAAUCACGAUACUCGUAAGAUCCUUGAAUAUAUUCACAGUGAUGUAUGAGGACCAACUAAGACUGCAUCAAUUGGUGGAAGCCAUUAUUUUGUUACAUUUGUUGAUGAUUUCUCUAGACGUGUGUGGGUGUACACCAUGCGAGGAAAGGAUGAGGUUCUAGAGAUUUUCGUGAAAUGAAAGAAAUUAGUGGAGACUCAAACUGGCAGAAAGAUCAAAGUAGUACGAUAUGAUAAUGGGGGUGAAUAUACUUCUGAUCCAUUCUUGCAAGUAUGCCAGAACGAGGGUAUUAAAAGACAUUUCACGGUGAGACAUACUUCGCAACAGAACAGUGUGGCUGAGCGUAUGAAUCGUACUUUACUGGAGAAGGUACGGUGUAUGUUAUCUAAUACUGGUUUAGAUAAAAAGUUUUGGGUUGAAGCUGUGAGCUACGCAAGUCACUUGGUAAACCGAUUGCCUUCUGCUGCAAUUGGAGGUAAAACUCCUAUGGAAAUGUGGUCUGGAAAGUAUGCACAAGAUUAUGAUUCCCUUCGUGUAUUCGGGUGUCCAGCUUAUUAUCAUGUCAAAGAUGGUAAACUGGAUCCUCGUGUUAGAAAAGCUAUCUUUAUGGGAUUCAAAAGUAGAGUAAAGGGCUUCAAGCUUUGGGAUCUCGAAGACAAAAAGUUUGUGUGUAGCAAAGAUGUCACAUUUGAUGAAGCUUCAAUGAUCAAAGCUUCAAGUUCUCAGCAGGUGGAGAACAAGACCAAAGAGGUAUUGCAGCGGGUGGAGCUUGACGUAACUCCAUAUGUACCAGUUAGUUCUACAUCAAAGAAGAGUUCAACUAUAGAGGUGACACCUAGAGUUGAAGAAGAGGUUGUUUUUUCUGAUGUCCCACAAAAUGAAGAAACAAUUGAUGAUGUAGAUAAUGAUGAUUUUAUAGCAACAAGGAGGCCAAGAAGAGAGAUAAAGAAACCCAGAUGGCUUACUAAAGAUAUGGUGGUAGCCUAUGCACUUCCAGUUAUUGAUGAUGACUUCCCCAACACUUUCGGUGAAGCAUUACGCUGUAGUGAAAGUGAUCAGUGGAAGUUAGCCAUGGAGGAAGAGAUGAAAUCUCUCCAUCAAAAGCAGACUUAGGAACUUGUAAAGUUACCAAAGGGGAAAAGGGCUAUUGGCAAUAAAUGGGUCUACACCAAAAAGCAAGGAUCUCCAAAUCAAACAACUCCUCGAUACAAGGCAAGGCUCGUGGCAAAAGGUUUUGCUCAAAAGGAAGGUAUUGACUACAAUGAAGUUUUCUCUCCAAUUGUAAAACAUACUUUCAUUCGUAUCCUACUUGCCUAAGUUGCAGAAUAUGAGUUAGAGUUGGCUCAAUUGGAUGUUAAGACGGCGUUCUUGCAUGGAGAUUUGGAGGAGGAAAUCUAUAUGAUUCAGCCUUGUGGUUUCAGAGUUACUGGAAAGGAGAAUCAUGUGUGUAGGUUGAUUAAAUCUUUGUACGGACUGAAGCAAUCGCCAAGGCAGUGGUACAAAAGAUUUGAUCAAUUUAUACAAAGGCAGAAAUUCACCAGAAGUGAACACGAUCAUUGUGUUUACUUUAGAAGACUACCAGAUGAAGCUUUCAUCUAUUUGUUACUCUAUGUCGAUGGUAUGCUUAUAGCUUCGAAGAAUAGAGAUGAGAUCGAAAGAUUAAAGAAGCAGCUGGCUUCUGAGUUCGAGAUGAAAGACUUAGGUGAUGCACAGAAAAUACUUGGGAUGGAGAUUCGUAGAGACAAGAAGAAUGGGAGCGUAUGGUUGACUCAAAAGUUUUAUUUGAAGAAAGUGCUAGAAAGAUUCGGUAUGGAUGACAAAAUUAAAUCGAUAUGUACACCUCUAGCUCCUCAUUUCAAAUUAAGCUCUUAUUCAUGUCCUAGAUCUCAAGAGGAGUGCGAUUACAUGGCUCAUGUUCCAUAUGCUAGUGCUGUGGGUAGUCUUAUGUAUGCUAUGGUAUGCACAAGGCCCGAUAUAUCUCAAGCAGUGAGCAUGGUUAGUAGAUACAUGCAUAAUCCGGGUAAAAAUCAAUGGCUUGCGGUAAAGUGGAUUCUCUGAUAUCUAUAUGGGACAGUUGAUGUUGGGUUAUUGUUCAAGAAGGAUUGUGGUCAAUAAUGUGUUGGGUAUUGUGAUUCUGAUUUCGCUAGAGACCUUGACAAGCGAAGAUCAACAAUGGGCUACGUAUUCACAUUGGGUGGAGGUCUGGUUAGCUGGAGGUCGAUUCUACAAUCGACAAUUGCUCUAUCCACUACGGAAGCAGAGUAUAUGGCAGCAACUGAAGCUGUAAAAGAAGCUAUCUGGUUGAAAGGCUUAUUAGGUGAUUUGGGAGUAAUCUAGGAGAACAUUGCGGUCUUCUGUGAUAAUCAAAGUGCGAUAUUCCUUGCGAAGAAUCAAACAUAUCACGCUUGGACGAAGCAUAUAGAUGUGAAAUAUCAUUAUGUGAAAGAGAUUAUCGAGAGCGAUGUUGUGUUGUUGAGAAAGAUCGAUACCAAAGAUAAUCCAUCAGAUAUGUUGACCAAGGUAGUUUCUGGAGUUAAGUUUCAACAUUACUUGAAAUUAAUUCAAAUCCUUCGAUUGUGUUAAGAUAUGUCCUUCGGGAAUUUUGAACUACGGUUGGUUUGAUCCCAAAUUUUAGAUACGUAGGCAGUCAUAGAGAUGCAACCACUUUGGGGAUGAUGGCUUGUUGGUAGUCGACUCAAAUUUGAAAAAUUUUCGCCGAGGUGGAGAUUUGUUGAAGUCAACAAAUUAUUGGUGCAAAUUUGUUGAAGUCAACAAAUUGUUGGUGCACCAACAAUUUGUUGAAAAAUAAUAAUAAUUAAAAAUUAUAUUUUUAAUUAUUUUAUUCUUAGCAUAGUAAUUCAUUUCUCCUAUAAAUAGCUAAGGAUUUCAUUCAUUUGAAAUCAUCCCAAAAUUGUUAAGCUUAUAAGUUUCUAAGCUUUUGAGAGAAGUGAGAGAAGUGUGUCUGGGGAAUUUAUCUUUCCUACAGAGUGUGAGAGUACUGGGUAUAUUUGGGUUUAUAGGAAGUGAGAUUCGUUACUCAAAUAUUGUACUCUAUUAAUUGUUAAAUAAACAAUUAUUCUUUCUUACCUCCGUGGAUGUAGGUUUAAUUACCGAACCACGUAAAUUCUUGUUUCCUUUAUUUUUCUGUAAUUAUUUGGUGUGCUUGAUUCCGCAUUCCGCGCACAACAAAUAGAACAAAGACAGAAAAUACAUUCAACUGAACCCAACACCAGAAAGCAUCACAAAUAUUAUUUAUUUUUUGUACACAAUUAACGAACCAUCGCUGAAGCACAAAUCAAUGAACUCUCAACUGAAAAUCCGAAACGAAACUUCUUAUUUAUGAGUAGACAGCGGAAACAAAGAAACCAAAAAAAAGUCCACCACUGUAGGAUCAGGAUUUGUCUGUGUAGACAGUAGAAGUGAAGAUGGAAAGGAUUCUGGUUUAAAUUGAAGCUCAGGCUGUAGUCAUGAUGUUUUCUGCUCUGAUUUCACCUACACAAGUCAUUAAAGAAAUUGUGAAAAAGAAGAAUUUUAAAUUACAUUUUUUUCCUUAACUAUUAAAACAAAUGAACGCCGAUGUCUGCUAGGCUCAUGGUUGAAUGUGGAAGAGUAUUUAAGUCUCCGCUGCUGCUAAAUAGGGCUUGAUGAUUGGGGUGAGUAUCAGAAACUCUAAAGGGUACUUAAUGUUGAGACAAACUAGAAGAAAACACUCUGUAUAACCAUCUUUAUAUUGAAGAGAAGGGGGAAAAAGUAUAUGAAAUUUGAUAAAUAAUAAAAAGUUGAAGAAAUUAGAUAAAACACGAAACAAAUAUCAAAUUCAAUAAGGGCUAAUCAAAUUCCGUAAGGAUAUAGUUGAAUGCUGCACUGUUCCUUAUCCUCAAAUUCCCUUAGCUUUUGUCUCAGCUCUGGCUGAGGCCACCAGCAAUCGAACUUGUUUAAGCUCUUUACGCACCAGAGCUGUUCAUGCAUUUUUUUCAAGUAAGGACAAGGGUUGAUAAUCAAGCAUUCUAGUUUUGGCAUGGCUCCAAUCCCCAUAGUCCACUCCUCUAGGCAUAGCAUUGAUUUCAGGUGCAAUACCUUGAGAUUUGGAAAACCAUGGGAGCCACAAGUUAGCUUCCUACCUGAAUAUGAAUUUUGCUUCAGUUUGAGCACUUGAAGAAGUGGCAGCUUUUCUAGUGCGGGCAUGGGAUCCUCCAUAAGUUCAGUAUUAGAUAAACUCAAGUGGGUUAGUGUUGGAGGAAAAUGGGAUUCAACAAGGACAAUUUUAGAGAAAGCUGGCAUCUUGCUUUCGUUCACCAACUUCAAUGAUUCGAGGCAGCUUAAUCUGCAAAGACUACCCAUGUGAGCCAACUACCCAUGUUGCGAAGAUGAGCGACUUUUAAGAGGAAUAAAACUGUCUGCCUCUUGAGGGGUAUUUAAGAAAACAGUGUACACCAGAAGAAGGAAUGAAAAAAGAAAAUUAAUCUUCCAUCGUAGAGAAGGAGAGAAAAUUUAUAUUAUUUCAUCUUUUUUUCUUAUUCUGCUUUAGUUAUUUCCUUUAUAGUCAACUAUCUAAUUUACUCCAAAUCUAACUUAAGCAUCAAAGGGUUCUCGCCAGAUCCCCCACAGGCGAGUUGUGACCGGUUUCUGUAGCUUUCAAGUUGCAGAUUUAAAGUCCAUAUCAACAUUCAAAUUUUGUUCGUACUAGUUUUCCACCAAAAACAAAUUCAGCUGUUGAAGUCCUUUUUCAGCAUCAACAUCUUGGACAUUCUUAAGAUAGCAAAAUCAAUAAACUCAACAUUAUGUUACUGGCUAAAGAGUGAAGAAACCAUAAGAAUCCAAUGACAACCAAAGCAGAAGGAUCAAUUUUAAUACAAAAGGGAAUUCCUCUGCUGCAAACGAGGGCUUUGAUGUGAUUGUAAAGAAUUGAGAGUGAGCAGCAGUACAUCCUCUCGCCAUCAACUUCAUUGCACUGCAUUACAAGGCAAAUGUGAAAACGAUCACAACUGCUCUUUAUUCUCUUAGUGCAAUUGGGCUGCUAAUCAACCAAUAGAGAAAGAACUAAAUUUUAAAUAUUAAAUCUUAAAUCUUUAUUCGCUACAACUAAAUUUUAAAUCUUCCACUUUCAGAACUUUACUCGUUAAAUCUCCUCUUCAAUUCUACCUAGUCCUUACUGGAUCCUUAAAGUCACCAAGGAUUAGUGAUGGUUUUUUAUUUUACGAGGGCUGUUGGACAACCCAGAUUGACAAGGGCUAAAAUCUCCAUAUAUUUGGAGGCUAUGAAGAUUAGACAAUAUGCCCCAGUUUCUUUUUGUUGUGUUUAAUCCUCUGUUAGUACCAAGAUCACACACUUAAGACCCUCUUUGACGUAUCAAGAAUCAUUCCCAGAAAACCAAACUCAAAAUUGAAUCAAAGUGCCUACAUCCACUGAAGAACAAGGACCAUUUCACAAUCAUUCCAAGAAUAUAAAACUUUUUCUCUUUAAGUCUCUCUCUUUCUAUGGCUUUGAUGAGACAUGUGAAGAUGACCCAACAACCAUUUCACAAUCAGUUUUAAGAUGAUGAGAUGUGAUCACAGCACAAACAUUUUUCGUCUAACUGAAGUAAUGAGAUUGAACUGUACCACUAUUCAAAAACUAGAAAAAAGAUAAAAUAAAAUAAAAAACAAUAACAUAUAUGCAACUUGAAUGUUGACAAAUUGAAUACACACCGGUGAAUGUGAAAUAGAAAGUAAAACAAUUAAUCAAACUUUUGUACAAAAUAUUAAUCCGAAUAUGACAUAAUCCUUGAAAACAAAGAAACCAAACAAUUUCAGUGAAGACUGGAUUCUUAUUGAAAUUGAAACUUUGGCUGCAGUACAGUUAAGAUAUUUUCCGCUUUGCUUUGACCUACACAUUCAAGUAAUUGAAUAUCUUAUUUUUCAGUUUUUCUUGAUUAUUUCAACAACCAAUACAUAAGGGUUCUACCUCUUCUAUAAAUAAGGGAUUAAUGAUUAGUGUCAGUAUCAGGGAAUAUAAUGGACACUUCCAAGUCUUUGUUGUGAAAAAAAUUAGAAGCAACCACAAUUAGAAUGUAGAAAACACUUUAUGGUAUCAUUAUUAUUUAGGCUGCUACGUACUAUCAAAUCAAUCAUAGAGACUAGAUGUUUACGUGAAAUUAGAUAAAUAAUUAGAGGUUGAAGUUAUUGGAUAAAAAGGAAAAAAACUUACAUCAAAUUCGAUCCAUGCUAAUCAAAUUCCAUAUGGGUAUAGCUGAAUGCCAUACUGCUCCUUAUCCUCGAAUUCCCAUAGCUGUUGUCUCAGCUUGGGCUCAGGCCACCACAACUCCAAUUUGUUUAAGCUCUUUAGGCACCAAAGCUGUUCAGGAAUCCUUUUCAAGUGAGCACAAGGGUUGAUGAUCACGCAUUCUAGUUUCGGCAUGGCUUUAAUCCCCAUAGUCCAUUCCUCUAACCAUAGCAUAGAUUUAAGGUGCAGCACCUUGAGUUUUGGAAAGCCAUCAGAGCUACAAGCCAGCUUUCUACCUAAAUACUUCAGUUUGAGCACCUGAAGAACCGGCAGCUUUUCUAGUGCCGGCAUGGGAUCAUCAAUUAGCUCAAUAUUCGAAAAACUCAAGUGGGUUAGACUUGGAGGAAAUUGGUAUUCAGCAAGGAUGGUAUUGGAUCGCCGUGGCAUCUUGCUUUCAUUCGCCAACUUCAAUGACUCGAGGCAGCUCAAUCUACAGAGACUUUUGGACAACAAAGAUUGAUAAUAACUUAAAUCUCCCCAUAUCCGGAGAUUUUGAAGAUUAGGUAGUCUGCCCAAUAUCUCUUCAGUAGAGCAGCAAGGAUGCAAGGCUAAAAUGAAAUUGAGAUUUUAUAGAGAGCCACAAUAUUUUCCUGGAUGUGCAGGAAGUGUGAUCGCUCCAAAAUUUAGAUACCUCAGUUUGCUCAUCUUCCAAAAUUCAUCUGCUGUAUGAUCUAUGUAGCUAAAGGGCAUCUCUAGGGUGUACAGGUUCAAAAGACUGCUUAAGAACGAUGAAGGCAGGCUUUUGAGGGAGGGGAUAAUACUCUGAGAAAUUUGAACAUUUUACAGAUUUUCUUGCAAUAAGUGGGGUCAAGGUAUUGGCUUCCUGAAGUGAGGUACAACAAAGAAUGGAGGAACGAGUCAAAAUCAUCUAAAAAUGUAAAAUGAUUCAAUUUUCCGUGAGCGGUGAAGCGUUUCACAUUUUCCCGUAAUCUAACUUCCUGAUCCAUGAUUGGGGAAAUGAUAAAUUCCCCCUUGAAAGCCACAGUCAACAAUGCAGGACUGCAACUCCCAGGAAUAGAGCUUGUGUUGAUUCUGCUUAUAUCACUUCUCUUCCCUGCAUCAACAAAGGCUCCAUUGAUUAGUUGUUCCAAGUACUUCUCAGUAAUUGCCUCGUUGUUGUCUGGAAUGAAACCUUCAGCUAUCCACAACUGAUAUAAUUGCUUGGUUCAUAUCUCAAAGUGUACGCGAAACACAGAUAAGUAGAGACAACAAAGUUUCAAGUAAAAAGGUAACAUACAAUAUGCAACGACUUGAAGCCCUCGGGGUUCAUCAAGUGCUUCCUCUAUAUUUUCUUUCAGUGAGAUGCUUCCAUGAUAUAAGAUGUGGAAAGGCCAUCCUUGGUAUGUAACUCUCAAUGGUCCUCCAGUGGGCACAAAAUCAAGCCCAAUGUUCUCUCCAUUUUCGAACUGAAAUGAGGUGACGAUCUCAAUUUGACUGAGUGUUAUCAAUACUCUACUUCCAAUCUGAUUAUCGGGAAGUAUUCUCGAAUAACAUCCCAUACUGAUAUUCUCCACACAUUAUCAAGCACAAUCAAAUACCGCUUGGUCAUUACAUAUUCAUGAAGAAUAAUUUUUUUCAUUUCCGAACUUUCUUUCAUAAUUUCACUUAACCUACGUGAAGGCAUCACAAACUUAAUAAUGUCGUAUAAUAUUUGGUCAGCAUCAUAUAGUAAAGACUCUUCAACCCAAGCGUGACAAUCAAAAUAAUGCUUCACAUAGUUGCUGCUGUAAGCCUCUGCGGCGAAAGCCGUCUUGUCCAAUCCAAUGCUAUCAAGUACGGCCACUACCGAAAGUUGAGGCGGUCCCUCUAUCAAUAGAUCUAAUAACUCCUCCAUUCUAUUAUCUAGACCCACCGUGUCCCUAUCCUUAAAAGAUGAGGAUGCAGGAAAAUUACCGGCUUUUGCUUCAAUCGAUUUGAGCCCAUCAAUGAUUCCGGAGUGGAUGUGCUGAACUUGCUGCAUCCGUUGUUUUAUAUCAAUGAUNNNNAUUUUGUCAAUGAUAGCCUUAAAAUCUUCUAAUUCUGCAAGAGUUUGACCCUCUUUUGCAUUGACUUGCCACAUAAACCAAGCAGUGUUGUAUCCACAGUCCCUCAGCCAAGAAGCAAUGAUUUCAGUCUCAGUGUAAAGGUUCUGAAUAGGUUGUUUAGCAGCAUCGGGCACUGUGAAUUCUUCACCAGCUGGCACCCUUCUCAGUCUCUCUGAAAAUAGUCCAAGGUUGAUGUCCAUAUCUCCUUCACUCUCAGUAGUCAGUAGCCAGCAGCUCUAGCAUGCAAAGAAAAUAAUUAUAAAAAAAAAAGUUAAAAGCUCUCCUUUUACUUCAACAUUAGUCAACAUAAUCAACUGAGGAUGGCACCAAUACCUCAUUCUAUUAAGAAGUUGAAUCAAGUUCAGGUGGUUGUCAAAGUAGAAUAGAUCAAGGCAGAGCAGUACUGGAAAAUGAAUCUUAAAACUAAAUGCUGCAGGUGCCGUGGGGAUACUGAUUGAUAAGAGGAAUUAUAUUGAGAAAUUAUUGAUGUACAAUAAUGAUUUUCUGCACAAAAUCUGAGGUAUAAUGUAUGUGUACAUAAAAUAUUCUUUAUGCAAGAAGAUAAAAGGGUGUCUUAUAAUUUGUGUUUUAUAUAUAUGUGUAUGAAGAAAGUAAAAUAGGCUAUCAAGACUAGUUUCUUUUUUGCCCUAUCAAAAGACUGAAAGAUUAAAAAUAAUUCCACUGGGACCAUAAAACUUGUCUAGAGAGAAAAAGCAUCACCUUAGAAUCUGAUUCAUGUUAAGAAAUUGAGUUUUCUCCCAAGAUCACUACAAAUAAUUUGUCAAGAAAUAAAUUAACAGAAAAAAUUAAACGGAGAAUACAUCAGUCACACAUCACAAGAUUUACAUGGAAAACUCUAAAUCCGGAAGAAAACCACGGCUGUUGUCAAAAGACAACCAGAGAAAAAAAUAUUCAUUAUGUAGAAAAUUAUUACAACCACACUCUCAGAAAUAAUUUCUCUCACCCAAGCCCCAAAUACAUGAUCCCGAAAAAUAUUCUUUAACAAAACAAACCCGUAAUACCCAUAUUGAGGAGCCAAAUACUCCUAUUGAAUGCUCUUAAUUGGAUACAAAAGUGAGGAGGAGAACCCUCCUAUUUAUAGGCAAAAACUUGCAUAAUUAUGCCCACCAAUUUUGAUCAAAAUUGGUGGCUUAGCCAUCAAAUUUGAUGAACAAAUUUUGGUCAACAAAUUUGGUGGUUAAGCCACCAAAUUUGAAGCCACCUUUCUUUUUUUUAAAUCAAUUUUCAACAAUUCAUUGAUGCAUCUAAUGCAUAAUAGUUGCUAUUGUUAGAGAUUUUCUUUUCAAGCGCUCUACAGACUACAACAGAAUACGUUAUAGUUUGAAUCGUUAGAUGAUCAUUCCAAUAGGGCUAAAGGUGUUCAUGGAUUAGAUUCAGAUAUAUAUGAUUCCAUCUGAUUUGGAUUUGGAUGUUGCCAUAUAUAUCCGAUUGGAUAAAAUUUGUGCAUCUGAUGGAUUGGAUCCACUUUAAUUUAAACAAUUUGAUUGGGAUUGCACUACUAUAUAUAUAUAUAGGAAAAUGCUUAACGUCGGGAAGGCUGAGAGAACCCUGAGAGAAACGGCAGCUUGUGCUACCGUUUCCCGCAUGUUCUCUUAGCCCCACCCCCACUUUACUUUAAGCAUUUCCUCUUUUGUUUUUUAUAUUAUUUUAUCUCUCUUUUAUUUUUUUCUUCUUUUAUCUUCUUCUUCUUCUCUUUUUUCUUUCUCUCUCUUUUGCAAUUUCUUCGUUACUUAUCUCCAUCAUCAAUUUCAUCUUCUUCAUCAACAACAUCAUCAUCACAAUUAUCUUUAAAAUUCUAGUUAUACAAUCCAAGAGGGGGGUGAAUUGGAAUUCUAAAAAUUAUUCAAUUUAUAAAGAAAAACUUAAUGCAAAUAUAAACCAAAUUCAAAGUAAUAACAAAUAAGUUGAUCACAAUAUAAAAAGAUAAGGGAAGAGAGAUUCAAACACAGAGAUUUUUACGUGGUUCGACCAACCUCGCCUACGUCCACGCCUCCAAGCUUUCCGGGCUUGAGGAUUCCACUAAGCAAGCAUCCAAGGCUUCAAAUGCUUACACUUGACUUCCAACAUGUCAAUAACCUUUACAACAAGAGAUUAUCCCAAUCUCUUUAAUCCAAGUGUAUCCCAACACUUACAAUCACUCAAAAUAAAAGAUUACAAAUUUGUUUUGCCUCUCACAAUAUUUAAGAUUACAAAAUGAUGCCCAAUAUGUGAAUAGAUGAAGCAAGAAUGUGUUCAAAGCUCUAUGAAGAUUGUAUUCUCGAGUAUAAGCUCAAUAGUCGUGUUGUGAUCAGAUUUGUUUGAAUUUGAAUGAGCUUAUUUAUAGUUGGAGCUGAAAAAACUAGCCGUUACAAACUGUCUGCCCGAAAACGGUUCGCCGUUAAGCAUUAACGGUUAACCGUUUAGGCUGGUCAAAAGUUACCGUUGGGCCAAAUUUCAAAUAAAUGGUUUGCCAUUUAGGAUUACUCUUUCGCCGUUAAAUUUCAGAGACCUGCAAGAUAAACACCAGUUAUCCGUUUACAUUAAACGGUUAAGGAUUUGCAUGAAGUGACUUCUCUGGAUAUUAUCGGUUAACCGUUUGUAAUAAACGGUUCGCCGUUUGUUUUCAGUUACCUGCAAAAUAAUUUAGCCUUAUCCGGUUUUAUUAAACGGUGCCAGAAGAGUGCAACCUUCAAUUCUGGAUUUUAUCGGUUAACCGUUUAAAUAAACGGUUCACCGUUAAAUUUCAAUAGCCUUCCCAGCUUUUUGUGUUUUCCGUUUUUCUUAAUCGGUUAGAGCUUAGGCAAUAUGUUGCUCUCUGGUUUUAAUCGGUUAACCGUUUGAAAGAAAACGGUUCACCGUUUAUUUCCAGAAUCACAUUUUAAACCAGAUUUUGCAGAGAAUCAUUUUCUAAUUUGAAAGACCAUCUUUUAUGAAUAUGAUUAGAAUGAUUAUAAGGCUUUCGUUUAUUAAGGAAUAGCUUCAACAUUUUAAUAAAAAAUCAUUUAAAGUUUGUUAUCAUCAAAAUCAAUAUUAUUAACAUAUUCAUGUUAACAAUCUCCCCCUUUUUGAUGAUGACAAACUUUAUUCAAUAUUUUGCUCCCCCUUAAUAUAUGCUCCCCCUAAAUGUAUGGCCAAAUUAAGAAAUGUCCAAUAAAAAGACUUUUGCUCGAGAAAAUAUUUUUAAAUUCAUUUUAAAUCUCCUCAUAAUUAUCUCCCCCUUCAUCAUCAAAAAGAAAAGAGAGAAAGGAAAAUCGCAAAUCCGUUAAAGAAGUUACCCGAUUUUGGCGAGUGAAAAUUUUGGCAGAGUUUCCCCUUAAAAUGGAUCAAAACCACUAAUACAAAAUGAGAUUAAAACACUUACAAAAUAUAUUAACAACAACUCCAUCAUUCAACAAACCAACAACGCCAUGAACAAACAAACCAACAACUCCAUUAACCAAUAAACCAACAAUUUCAUCAACCAAUAUCAAGUCAUCCAACAUCAAGAACAUCAUAAAAACAUGUCAUCAAAAUCCAUAAAGAGCAUAUAGAGGUAGCAAUGUAUAUAAAAAUAUAAAUGGCAACACGCAAACAACCAAAAUAUGAAAUGUAUGUGCGAAAAUAGAAUUCAGAAACUAUGGAGGUGGAGAAGAUGUGCUCCCCGGAUCAUAGCCAAAAUAGUGGAGAAGAGUGUGCUGUCCAGCGAUAAGCUCAUGCUACUGAUCAAUGCUCUGCUACUGGAAGGUCUGAAAGUCAGAACGUAACUGCUGGUGGUCACGGGAAAAAGUGUCCAACCGAUCAAGAAUCAGCUGCUGGCGCUCCGAAAUUCGGUGAACAUCAGCAAUCAACUGCUGCACAACAUCUGAAGCAUGGGGCUGAACUAGAGCUGGAGGUGGUUCAGAGGCAGAUGGGUGCUCAGGAACAUCAGAUGGCUCAGGAGCAGGAGGCUGCUUGGGAGCUAGAGGCGGCUCGGAAGAGGAGGGAAUAUCAGCACCCAUCGCACGCUCCUCAGAGUCAGAGUCAGCUGAAGGCCAAGGGACAAAACGGCGAUGAGGAGGAUGAGGAUGAGCUCCUAAUCUAAAAUCUGGAAGCUUAUUGGGAGGAUAGACAUCGUUGAGCAUCCGAUCGUCCUCUGGAGCAAUCAAGGUAUCCCGGUUUUUGGAGUUGUUUGUCUUUAUCCACUCACCAUUCUUCCUAGUAAAACCGAUACUAGUCAUGGCCUCAGGACCAAUCCCUCUAGUCUCCAUAUAAGUGGUAUCAAGAAGAGGCACCUCAAAGCGUCGUAGUAUCUUAGUAAUGAUACUGCCAUAUGGAAGCAAGUGGUGGUUAACUGCGGGAGUACUCAACAUGUGCCGCACAAUAACAUAGCCGAGGUUAAUGGGACGGCUUGAAAUGAGACUAUCUAAUAGGCCAACGUCCAACCUCGUAACCUCAUCCGAGUGAACCUUCCUAGGUGUCACUAUGUGCUGUAAAAUAGUGUGAAGAAUGCGAACUUGGAGAGGUAAAAGUUGAGACCGAAAAGGUAGAAGACAGAUCUCAUCAGACAAGUCUCGACGACGACAAAUAUUACGGACUCCAUCAGUAUGAUAAAAACUGUAAAAAAAAAGGGCUUUCCUAGAGGUGUAAAUAUCAUGACCCUCACUAGAGAUACCAAGAAAGUCAGCUAGGUCCGCAUCAUCAAAUUCAAUAGGCACAUCGCCGACUUGAGUAACUAUCCUAUUUAGGCGAGUUGCGAAGAUUUCCAUGUUCGAAUAAAAGACUCGUACUAAGUUGGGAUAAACUCGGUCAUCAAAGUCAAUGGCAGACUCCCAAGGCUGAAGCAUAUCCCUAAUACUUCUACCACAUACAACUAAGGUACUGAAAUCAUCUAUUUCAACAUAAGAAGAGUCAAGUACCUUUCGACCAUUGAAGCGAUUCUCGAACCGCUUGGCCAAGGAAGGCAUGGGGAAAUGAAUUAUUGCGAAUUCAGAGACUUCCCGUAGUGGUAUAGGGUUCCUUGGAGGCACAGAUUUUCGCCUGAGAUUUCUCCGAGGGGGUGCAGCCAUGGUGAAGCACAAAGGAGUUUGAAAAUUACUGGAGAGAUGUGAUGAGAAGAAGAUGAAUCGAUUAUUUGCUUAGGAAUGAGUAAAUGAUGUGAUUUUGAUGCUUAAUUUGGCUGAAGAAGGGGAAGAAUCGGGUUAAAAAGGAAGAAACCCGAGCGGCCGCAGUUAGGGUUUAGAUUUGGGAUUUUUCAAUUUUGGGCUUGAUUUGAGGAUUUGAAUCGGUGAAAGUGUUCUAAAGGUGAUAAGAAAUGAUGUUAUAGGUUUGAUUUGACAAGAAAAACAAGAAAAAUGAAGGUUUGAGGGGAGAGGAGGAUUCGGCUGUGCAACAAUGGCCGAAACGGUGAAGGGGCAACUGGAGAAGGAGAAGAAAAAACCUUUGAACAGUUUUAUAAUCACGAAAAUGGUUAACCGUUUAUUUAAACGGUUAAGGGGUAACUUCCAGAGGCUAAAGAAUGGGAAACGGUUAAAGGUUAAACUCUUAACGGCUGAGGAGUAACUGCUAGCGAGCUCUCUGAUUUUAAACGGUUUACCGAUUGCAACAAACGGUAAAAGGGUUAAAAGGCAGUCAACUUAAUCGAGUUUUUGGAAUAAAAUGGUACACCGUUUAUUGGAAACGGUUAGCCGUUUAUUUUAUCAAUAAUUUCGCACAUUUGAUUUAAUUUUUUGCCAGCAAAUAAUACAUUCCAAGAUCAUUUAAUUGAUCUAAAAAUGUUUCAUGAGCCAUUUUAAUGCAUGAUUCAUGAACAUGUAUUGAAGCAAUUAAUUCAUAUAAUCAAUCAAGAAUUAACAAAGCAAGCACAUCAUUUGAAUAUCAAGCUUAAGCAUUUAAAUCAUCAAUUCACCAAGAAGUCAAUCAAUUCAAUACACUCAGUAGCAUGAAUAGUAACGUUAAUGUGAAAAUUUCAUCAUUCCAAGUUCAUGCUGAAUCUUUGAAAAUUGUUCUUCACCAAGAGGUUUGGUAAAAAUAUCCCCCUUUUGAACAUGAUCUCUCAAGAAAUGAUGUCUUAUUUCUAUAUGCUUGGUUCGAGAGUGUUGAAUAAGAUUCUUUGAAAGAUUUAUAGCAUUAGUAUUAUCACACUUAAUAGGAAUUUGUUCUAGGUUAAUACCAUAGUCUCUAAGUGUUUGUUUCAUUCAAAGAGCUUAUGCACAAUAACUUCCUGCAGCUAUAUAUUCGGCCUCUGUAGUUGAGAGUACAACAGAAUUUUGUUUCUUGCUAAACCAUGAAACAAGUGAGUGACCUAGGAUAUAGCAUGUUCCACUAGUGCUUUUCCUAUCAACGUUAUAACUGGCAAAAUCCGCAUCCGAAUAACAUGUUAAAUCUAUAUGAGUUCCCCUAGGAUACCAAAGGCCAAUAUCUACGGUUCCACUCAAAUAACGGAAAAUUCUUUUAAUAGCAAGCAAAUGAGAUUCCUUGGGACAAGAUUGAAAUCUUGCGUACAAGCAUACACUAAACAUGAUAUCGGGUCUACUUGCAGUUAAAUAAAGUAAAAAUCCGAUCAUACCUCGAUAUAUUUUUAUAUCUACUUCCUUGCCUUUUUCAUCUUUGUCAAGUUUGGUUAUUGUGCUCAUUGGAGUGUUUUUGGUCUUUGAGUCAUCAAUGCUGAAUCUUUUGAGUAGAUCUUUUACAUACUUGGCUUGAUUUAUGAAAAUUCCUUUCUCAUUUUGUUUUAUUUGCAGCCCAAGGAAGUACUUCAACUCUCCCAUUAUACUCAUUUCAAAUUCAUUACUCAUGUAAGAUGAAAAUUCUUUACACAACAAUUCAUUAUUAGAACCAAAAAUAAUAUCAUCAACAUAAAUUUGAACAACAAGUAUGUCUUUUUCCUUAUGUUUGACAAAUAAAAUAGUAUCCGCUUUACCCAUUGAAAAAUCAUUUUCUAAUAAGAAAUUCUUAAGUCUAUCAUACCAUGCUCUAGGUGCUUGUUUUAAGCCAUACAAAGCUUUAAAUUACUUAUAAACAUGAUUUGAAAAUCUUUCAUUUUCAAAACCAGGGGGUUGUUUUACAUACACUUCUUCCAUUAUAAAACCAUUCAAAAAGGCACUUGUCACAUCCAUUUAAAAUAAAAUAAAAUCUUUAUGACAUGCAAAUGCCAACAAUAUUCUAAUUGAUUCUAGUCUAGCUACGGGUGCAAAUAUUUCAUCAAAAUCAAUUCCUUCUUCUUGGUUGUAACCUUGAGCCACUAAUCUAUCUUUAUUCCUUACAACCACACUGGAUUCAUCCAUCUUAUUUCUAAAUAUCCAUUUAGUACCUAUGACGGAUUGAUGUUCCGGUUUAGGAACUAAUUCCCAUACAUUGUUUCUUUCAAAUUGAUUUAACUCCUCUUGCAUUGCCAUAAUCCAAGAUCAUCAUUUUCCGCAUCCGCAAAGGAUUUGGGUUCAAUUUGAGAAAUAAAUGCAUUAUGCUCACAAGUAUUUCUAAGAGAUGAUCUAGUUGUAACACCUCGUGAGGGAUCUCCUAAAAUUACAUCCUUAGGGUGAGAAGAAACAUACCUCCACUCCUUGGGAAGUGAUUGAGAUGCACUUUCAUUGUGUUCUACAUUCAUUUCUUCAUGUUGCUCAUCUUGAUUCCCAUGAGACGUAUCCUUUUGGUUAUCUUUUGAUGAUUCUUUUUUUAAGUCUUCAUCUACAUCAUUAUCAACAACAACUUUCUCCGUAGAUGAGGGGUUAGACUCAUCAAAAGUAACAUGCAUAGAUUCUUCUACAACUAAUGUAUUUUUGUUAUAAACUCUAUAAGCUUUGCUUGAGUUUGAAUAUCCAAGAAAAAUACCAACAUUAGAUUUUGGAUCAAAUUUGCCAAGAUUGUCUUUUGUGUUCAAAAUAAAACAUUUGCAUCCAAACACUUUGAAAUAACCAAUGUUGGGUUUUCUAUGUUUCUAAAGCUCAUAUGGAGUUUUGUUAAGGUUAAGUCUAAUCAACACACGAUUUAAAACAUAACAAGCGGUGUUGACGGCCUCGGCCCAAAAAUACUUAGGCAAUGAAUUUUCAUUCAACAUAGUCCUAGCCAUUUCUUGAAUGGAUCUAUUCUUUCUCUCAACAACUCCAUUUUGUUGUGGAGUUCUAGGUGAUAAAAAUUGAUGCUCAAUGCCAAAAUCAUUACAAAAAAUCUCAAAUGCAUGAUUUUCAAACUCUCCUCCAUGAUCACUCCUAAUGCAUGCAAUACCAUACCCUUUUUCAUUUUGUAUUUUCUUACAAAGCACUUUAAAGGUAUCAAGAGCAUCAUCUUUAUUGGCUAAGAAUAAUACCCAUGUAUAUCUAGAAUAAUCAUCCACUAUCACAAAUGCAUAAUAUUUGUAAUUUAAACUAGCAUAUCUAGAGGGUCCAAAUAAAUCUAUGUGAAGAAGUUGAAGUGGUUUUGAAGUAGAAAUACGAUUUUUAUUUUUGAAAGAUGUUUUGAUUUGUUUUUCAAAUUGACAAGCUUCACAAAUCUUAUCUUUUUGAAAACCAAUUUUUGAAAGACCUUUAACUAAAUCAUUUUUCAAAAUUUUUGAAAUCAAAUCCAUACUUGCAUUUCCUAACCUUCUCUGCCAUAACCAACUAUCAUCAUGCAAUGCCGAAAAACAUUUAUCAAGAGUAGAUGCACAUUCUAUGUCAAUGAUAUAAACAUUACCACAUCUAUUCCCACUUUUCAGUCAUGUGCCUUGAACAACCAUUGUCCAAGUAUCAUUUAUUUUUCUUCUUCUUUAAGCCCUACAAGAAAAAUCUCAAGUUUUAGGUACCCAAAGCUUUUUUGGUCCUUGAGAGUUAGCAACGGUUCCUUUUGGAACCCAAAUACAUUUGACACCAUAAUAUGCAUUCCUUUUCACGGGACAUCUAUAUUUCAUGUGACCAUUUUGAUUACAAUAAUGGCAAACAAUCUUAUGAUCACGUGUGGAGGUAGCUUUAACAAAAUAAUUCUUAUAAUACUUUUGCUUCAAGUUAGGCUUAUACCCAAGUCCUCCUUUAUCAAAAACACAUUUUUGUGAGUUAAGCAUAUUAUCCAACAUCUUUUGCCCAUUUGUAAAUUUCAAAACAAUUUCAUUCAAUUCAUUACUCUUUUUCUUGAGCAUUUCGUUCUCAUUUUUCAACUCAUCUAUGUGUGAUUCUAAAUGCUCAUGUGAGAUGCUAGGUUUCUCAUUUGAUAAUGCAAUUUCAUCAUGCAAUGUUUUGUUCUCUAUUUCUAGGCAUGCAAUUCUUGCAUUUAGAGAUUCAUUUUCAUUUUUAAGCUUUGCCAUUUCCUUUUUAAGACAUACAUUCUUUUUACCAAUCUUCAUCAACUCAUUAUGCAAUUCUUUAAAAGCAUCAUACAAUUCAUCAUUGGUGGGAUCACUUACCUCAUUGAGAUCAUCAUCCCCUCUUAUUGCCAUAAGCACUAGGUUUGAUACUUCUUGCAAUCCUUCUUCAUCACUUGAAUCUUCCUCGCUAUCAUCCCAAGUUGCAACCAAUGCUUUCUUCUUGAGUUUUUUGAUAAGUGGGCACUCCGAUCUUAUAUGGCCAUGCUUCUUGCAUUAAUAGCAUGUGAUUACCUCUUUCUUCUCCCUUUGGUUCUUGAAGUUUCUGAAAUUUCUUCGCUCUACGGUUUUCUUGAAGAAUUUUCUGAACCUGCUUGCUAGCAUGGCUAGCUCUUCAUCAUCCGGUUCACUCUCCCCAUCACUCUCAUAUUUUGAAGAUUUGAGAGUAAUGCUUUUCUUCUUCUCCUCAUGCCCUUUUUCUGCUGCCAAAUCUUCUUCAUAUGAAAUGAGAGAACCAAUUAAAUCAUCGAGGGCUAAAGUAUUUAAAUCUUUGGCCUCUUCAAUAGCGGUUCUUUUUGGUCUCCAUUCUUUUGGAAGUGACCUAAUGAUUUUCUUAACUUUUUUGCUAUUUGAGAAGGUCUUUCCUAAGGCUCUUAGGGUGUUUACUAUGUCCGUAAAUCUCGUAUACACAGAGUACACACUCUCAUUUUAUUCCAUUUGGAAUAACUCAUGUUGUCGAGUGUACCUACUAAUUUUUGACUCUUUCACUUGAUUUGUGCUUCAAGUUUGUGCUAAAUUUCAUUGGCACUUUCACAACUAGAUACUCGAUGAAAUUCUUUUUUAUCAAGUGCACAAAAUAAAGCAUUCAUAGCUUUGGAAUUUAGAGAAGCUUUUCUCUUUUCCAAUUCAUUCCAUUCCGUUGAAGGUUUUGGAAUAUCUUCCCCGAAUUCAUUUUUAGUUAGGGGCAAAAACAGACCAUCGCGUACAACUUCCCAAAUUUCAUAAUCUAAAGCUUGCAAAUAGAUUCUCAUUCUAGUUUUCCAAUAUGCAUAGUCAUUACCGUCAAAGAACGGUGGUCUAGUUGUGGAUUGCCCUUCUCUAAAGGUUGAGUCAUUUAGGGUUGCCAUAGAUCUUUUACUCUAGACGAUUAAGUCCUAAUAAGAGAACAAGGCUCUGAUACCAAAUGAAAUUCUAGUUAUACAACCCAAGAGGGGGGGGUGAAUUGGAAUUCUAAAAAUUAUUCAAUUUAUAAAGAAAAACUUAAUGCAAAUAUAAACCAAAUUCAAAGCAAUAACAAAGAAGUUGAUCACAAUAUAAAAAGAUAAGGGAAGAGAGAUUCAAACACAGAGAUUUUUACGUGGUUCGACCAACCUCGCCUACGUCCACGCCUCCAAGCUUUCCGGGCUUGAGGAUUCCACUAAGCAAGCAUCCAAGGCUUCAAAUGCUUACACUUGACUUCCAACAUGUCAAUAACCUUUACAACAAGAGAUUAUCCCAAUCUCUUUAAUCCAAGUGUAUCCCAACACUUACAAUCACUCAAAAUAAAAGAUUACAAAUUUGUUUUGCCUCUCACAAUAUUUAAGAUUACAAAAUGAUGCCCAAUAUGUGAAUAGAUGAAGCAAGAAUGUGGUCAAAGCUCUAUGAAGAUUGUAUUCUCUAGUAUAAGCUCAAUAGUCGUGUUGUGAUCAGAUUUGUUUGAAUUUGAAUGAGCUUAUUUAUAGUUGGAGCUGAAAAAACUAGCCGUUACAAACUGUUUGCCCGAAAACAGUUCGCCGUUAACCAUUAACGGUUAACCAUUUAGGCUGGUCAAAAGUUACCGUUGGGCCAAAUUUCAAAUAAACGGUUUGCCGUUUAGGAUUACCCUUUCGCUGUUAAAUUCCAGAGACCUGCAAGAUGAACAUCAGUUAUCCGUUUACAUUAAACGGUUAAGGAUUUGCAUGAAGUGACCUCUCUGGAUAUUAUCGGUUAACCGUUUGUAAUAAACGGUUCGCCGUUUGUUUCCAGUAACCUGCAAAACAAUUUAGCCUUAUCCGGUUUUGUUAAAUGGUGCCAGAAGAGUAUAACCUUCAAUUCUGGAUUUUAUCGUUUAACCGUUUAAAUAAACGGUUCAUCGUUAAAUUCCAGUAGCCUUCCCAGCUUUUUGUGUUUUCCAUUUUUCUUAAUCGGUUAGAGCUUAGGCAAUAUGUUGCUCUAUGUUUUUAAUCGAUUAACCAUUUGAAAGAAAACGGUUCACCGUUUAUUUCCAGAAUCACAUUUUAAACCAGAUUUUGCAGAGAAUCAUUUUUUAAUUUGAAAGACCAUCUUUUAUGAAUAUGAUUGGAAUGAUUAUAAGGCUUUCGUUUAUUAAGGGAUAGCUCCAACAUUUUAAUAAAAAACCAUUUAAAGUUUGUUAUCAUCAAAAUCAAUAUUAUUAACAUAUUCAUGUUAACAAUCUUCUUUUUCCUCCUGUUAGUUUUGUUUCUUCUUCUCCAUCAACAUCAAAAUUUGGUUUCAUCUUCUUGUAUAAUUAAAAGGCAAGCACCCCUUUGACUUGGAAUCAAAAAAUCGAAAUCAAUACAGGUGUUGUUCUUCAUUUUUUUGGGUUUUUUAGAACAAAAAAUAGGGGAAAUACACUUGGAAUAAUGGAGAGACCGGACGAAGUGACGAACCGGACUGGUGGUGUCUGUCGUGAUGAGCUGAAGAGAAAGAGGUGGUUGUCGGUAACGAUGCCAUUGAUGAGAGAGAGUGCCGAUGAAAUUGAGGGAAGGGAGAAGAUACAGUAGUUUCUGGUGCUGGAGAGAUGAGUUGACUGCAACAAAAGGCUGACUGCAGCAAAUGUUAUGUUAAAAAGAAAAGAGAAAGUAACGUGGGAGGUGGGGCCAAGAGAACACGCGCGAAGCGGCAGCACAAGCUGUCGUUUCUCUUAGGGUUCUCUCAGCUUUCCCGACGUUUAGCACUACUCGUAUACUGCUGUACGGCCAAGGCGGAUGUACGGUACAGCAGCCCUUUCAAAUUUUUGUCUGAAAUAUUUAUCAGAUCCGAUUUAUUUUAAAUCCGAUCGAUUGUAUUUGAGAUUCAGGUUGGAUUCGAAUGAUUUUUUUUCCUAAUCCAAACAAUUCAAAAUCCAAUCGCACUUAUCCAAAUCUAAAGUGCAAUAUUCAUCUCUUUUUCAUAUAUCCUUUGCUAAAUGAAAGUAAUCAUGAUGUCGGGCCCUUCUUUAAAAAAAUAAUAAAAAUCUUCAAUUUAUAUGCAACUCCUUUCUCAUUAUUACUCUUCUUUGUGUUCGACUAUUGUAGUGCUUUUUCUUCUGAGAUAAACUUUAUAGUCCCUAGUGUGAUUGUUUUUACCUUUUCUUUCUUGAAAGUGGAUAAAACAAAUUGAUCUUUGAUUGAUACUUGAUGAUGUCCUAUUUUCUUUUUAUUUUCAUAUUUCUUUUUUCUAACAUAUUGGGGUACGCAAUUGAAAUAGAGGUUCAUUUGUCACAACAGUCCACGCUAAUAUAGACUAUCAAGUUGUGACAGGAAUUAGUCCAUUUGUGCAGCCACAUGACAACAUUUAAAGUCGUCCCACUGCAAGCAAAUAAAAUUAGGUGCCACGGAUUUAAUGGGACAAUCAAUAAAAUUAUGUCCACUGUUUUUUAUUUACUCAUAGUUUAUAAUUAAGUUUUAGAAUAAAUAUGUGACUAGAUUUUAUUUGACAAAGAAAUUGCGUACACUCGUAUGCAACUGUGACAUCUAACUAUCUCUACCAUUUCCAAACCAGAACUUCUAUGUCAUGUUUAAAACACGAGCAAGGAAUUUUAAGUUGGAGAAAGACUUUAGGUAGAAUAGAGACACAAUAUAUGAAAAAGUAAAUGUAUGCGUUAUGAGAUUUUCGAAGACAAGCAUAUUUGUUGACUCGGUAGUUACAUCGAAGUCUUACUCUUCGAGUUAAGUCAACGGUGCAAAAUUCAUGGAAUCUGCAUUUAAUUGUCUGGCUAAUGGGUUCUCAAAUUGCAAAUGAAAGAUAAAAAGCUUUGGUUACACACACACACCCAAAAAGAGAAAAAAAAAUGCCGCCACUGGGCUAGAUACUGUUUAGGAAAUGAAAUAUGGUGACUAAGAUAAAGGUGUUUGCUCAUACAUUAUCGUGCUCUCCUCAAAGUAAAAGUGAGCAAAUGGUUGAGCAGAUCACCUCGACCAGGAUGUUGUUUGGUGACCUCGAGCACAUCACCUCGACCAGGAUGUUAUUGGUCACCUCGAGCCGAUCAUCUCGACCAGGAUGUUAUUGGUCACCUCGACCAGAAUAAUAUGUGGUGACCUCGAGCACAUCACCUCGACCAGGAUAUUAGUGCUCACCUCGACCAGAAUAAUAUGUGGUGACCUCGAGCACAUCACCUCAACCAGGAUGUUAUUGGUCAACUCGACCAGAAUAAUAUGUGGUGACCUCGAGCACAUUUUCUCGACUAGGAUGUUAUUGGUCACCUCGACUAGGAAGUUACCAGGAAGCACGAUUCAGUCAAAACAUUUUCUCCGAAAUAUUAGGGACCAUAUUCUUAGUGGGCUGAAAAUUAGUAAAAAUUAGUAGUUUUCUUGAGAAUUCUAGGGGAGAGGAUAAAAACCGCUAUAGUUUCCUAUAAAAACCCUAGGAAGGGGAAGGAAAAAAGGGAUUCUUCUAGCUCUCUCUCUCUCUCUAGGCAACUGAAUCCAUUGGACCUUUUUCUCUCUCUACCACUGGAAAAUUUCUCUUUCGCUUAGGAUUUUUUUAAGAUUAAUUAUUCUCAGUUAUUUUCCUUUAAAUUUACUUAAAAGCUUUUUUGUUUAAAGCAAUCAUAAUUAAUUCACAUGAAUUGUGGUAUGGAUUUUUCCAAGUAAGACCCAAAUCGCUGACUUGAGCAUCGGAGGGUUCUUGCCAGAAAAACUUUCGGCACUUUCUGACUGUUGGUUGUGCUCACAGGCUCACAGGUUAUCUGCUCAUGAGUUCUCUGCUCAUGGAUCGUCUGCUCAUGGAUCAUCUGCUCAUGAAUUGUCUGCUCAUGGGUUGUCUGCUCAUGGAUUGUCUGCUCAUGGGUUGUCUGCUCAUGGAUCGUCUAUCCAUAGAUUAUUUGCUCAUGGAUUGUCUGCUCAUAGAAUAUCUGCUCAUAGAAAUUCUGCUCAUGGUGUUAACUAAUCAGCAGCUUCCCACCAAACAAAUUUAAUGCUGAUGCAGGGAUUUGAGAUUCGAUCCACUCAUCCGGAUUUCGGCAUCAACAGAUACAAUUAGCUGAAAUGAGGAUAUUAAAAAGAACACGUGCUCUAUUUAAUUGGUAGAGUAUUAAUGGAGCUUGUGUAAUUGUACAUUUACUGUUUUUUAAGGUUAUUUUUCAUAUAGUAGAAAGAUCAUAAAAUGUUUUUAUUGAAUUACACUCAUUUAAUGUAUGUAUGAUAUAUAUGCGUAUGAAUUAAAUAUAAAUAUAGAUAAAGGACAGUGUAUGCCAGCAAGAAAACUUUUUCUCUAGAUUGAAAAUGAUUUAAAAGAACCAUUUUUCUCCCACUAAUAUCUUCAAAAUCAUUAUUGUUAAUAACAGAACCCAAAAAAUAAUUAAAUAAUCUCUUGUUUAAUAUGUUGCAUGCUUGCAGAAAAUUGCGGAUGAUUGAACCAAUAAUUCAACCUUUACUCCAUGAGCUUUAAACUAAUAAUCUGUCAUCAGUUAUUGUCUAAAUAAAGAAAUUUAUGAAUCGGUAUAAAAUGGGGUCCCAAAUCCUGACCUACAUUGAAAAUUAGGAUAUGAAAUUUGUAACAAAUCUUAUAUAGGGUUUGUAUCUCGAUUGUUAUCUGGAUAAUUUUGCCAGCCUAGGUUCACGUAUUAACAGUUAGAGCGGGAGAUCCCAAAAAAGGGUAUCUUGAAUUUAACCAAAUUCAUUAUAAGGAUAUAUGGACCCAUUUGAUUGCCUAAGGGAUCUCGAAUGAAAUUUUCAAACAUCUCAAAUCCUGCCUUGAUUAUUAAAUUGGAAGAAAACUAGAUCUUGAAUCUCAACUCGAAUAAUAAAUCAGAAUGAGAAAUUUUUAUCAAAUCUUGUAUCAUUUAGGACGGACUCCCAAAUUCCAAUCGAGAUUUGAGGAAUUUUGUAUUAGCAACUAGAGCCGAAGAUCCCAAAAAAUAUCUUGAAAUUAACCAAAUUCACUAUAAGGUAUGAACUCAUUUGAUUGCACCCUUAAAAAGUAUUACAGAUGACACCACACAAUCAUAUUAUUAAAACAAACCAAACCACACAUAUCCAGGCUUAGCAUGUAUAUAUAAGAGCACAAAAAAUAACUUCUUUCUCGUUAUAAAGGAGAACAGAAUCAGCUAGAAGCAGGGGAAUCAAAGUACAACAGAAAAUAAAAGAAAAAAAAUGAUACACAUUCAUUUGUUCAGCAAAAACCAAUGACUAUAAGGUGAGCAUGAGGCAUCAACCUUUAAAAUUGGACAGAAUAAGCUAAUUCCUUAAAAUUCACAUGCUAAUACUAUUUAUAAUUUCUAAGUCCAAAGUUUAAAAUAAUAGGUAGUAUUUGUUCAAAACAAGCAUUUAUAAUUAUUAUUCGGAUGAUUAUUUCAAGAAUCUAAGAUAAUAACAAUCCAGUAUUCAAGUUAUUUAUGAAUGAUUAGGGCUUAAAAUCUCCAUAAAAUUGGAGAUUCUGAAGAUUAGGCAAUAUGUCCCAGUUUCUAUUUCUUGUAUUUAGUCCUCUAAUGUAUCAACAAUCAAUGCUAGAAACCCAAUCCCCGAAAUUGAAUUAAAAAAAUAUAGAAAACAUAGAGCAAAUCAACAGUAGAUUCAGCAGCGAUGAUGCCUACAUCCAAACUUCUCUUCUAAUGGAAGUGAUGCAGAAUUCCCUUAAGAUAAUUAUGACCAUUAACAUGUAUUACACAUGGUACGACCAAACCACACACGUCCACACUGAACUGGAGUUUCAAGCACAUUACGAGAAUGAAGACACACGAAUAGAAUAUACACAGUGAAUCCAAAAACUUGACAUGAUUGCUUGUAGCAGAUCCUUGAAAACAAAGAAACCCAACAAUGUCCUGCAUCAAUCCUGAGGACUCAAUAAUGUGUAGACAACAGAAGUGAAUAUUGAAAGGAUCAAGGCCGGAUUCUAGUUGAAAUUGAAACUUUUGCUGCACUACAGUUGACAAAUUUCCCGGUCUGAUUUCACCUGCGCAAGUAAUUUAAGAUCUGAAAUUAUAGUUUUUCCUCACUGUUCAACGAUCAAUACACAAGGGUUCUGAAAUUAUAGUUUUUCCUGACUGUUCAACAAUCAAUACACAAGGGAAAAUGGUCGGGGUCAACUUCAGGAUCUGUGAUGAACACUUCAUCUCUAAUGUUGAGACAAAAAUUAGAAGCAACCACAAUUAGAAAACACUUUAUAGCAUUAGGAAGCUGCGUACUAUCAAAUAUAUUGAGGAAAAGAAAAAACAUAUGUAUGAAAUUAGAUUAAUAAUUAAAGGUUGAUGAUAUUGCAUAAAAUGAAAAACUUACAUCUAAUUAAAUCCAUGCGAAUCAAAUUCCAUAAGGAUAUACUUGAUUGUCAUACUGCGCCUUAUCCUCAAAGUCUCGUAGCUUUUGUCUCAGCUUCGGCUAAGGCCUCGAAUUUGUUUAAGCUCUUUAUGCACCAAAGCUAUUCAGGAAUCUUUUUCCAGUAAGCACAAGUAUUGAGAAUCAAGCAUUCUAGUUUUGGCCUGGCUCCAAGCCUCAUGGUCCACUCCUCUAGCCAUGGCAUUGAAUUCAGGUGCACUAUCUUGAGCUUUGGGAAACCAUCAGACCUACAAGUCAGCUAUCGACCUGAAUAUGAGUUUUGCUUCAGUUUGAGCACUUGAAGAAGUGGCAACUUUUCUAGUGUUCAAGUGCAGGCAUGGGAUCAUCCAUUUGUUCAGUAUUAGAGAAACUCAAGUGGAUUAGACUUUGACGAAGUAGGUAUUUGGCACAGACGAUUUUGGAGAGCCUUGGCAUCUUGCUUUCAUUCACCAUCUUCAAUGACUAGAUGCAUGAGUUUAUUCAUCUUCCAAAAUUCAUCUACAGUGUAUGAUCUAUUUAGCUAAAGGGCAUGGCUAUGGGGUACAGAUUCAGAGAUUUCUUAAUAAUGAUGAAGCCAGGCUUUUGAGGGAAGGGAUAUUCAGCUUCAAAUAUCAAAAGAAAUAAAGUUUCAAUUUUGGAUGGAAAUUGGCUGAGAACAAGAGAUCCCAAGUCCAUUACUCAACCGAUUUUCACCCAAUCUAUGGGGUCAAGGUGGUCGCUUUCUGAAGUACAACAAAGAAUGCAGGUGCGAGUCACAAUCAUCUAAGUAAGCAAAAUCACUCUGUUUUUAAAAAACGUACACACGUUUGACAUUUUUUCGCAAUUUACCUUUUUGAUCCAGGAUAGGGGAAAAGGUAAAUUUCGCUUUGAGAGCCAUUUGCAACAAUGAAGCCCAGCAACGACUACGAAUAGGGCAUGUGUUGAUUCUACCUCCAUCGCUUCUCUUCUUUGCAUCAACAAAGACUCUAUUCAUUAGUUGUUCCAAGUACUUCUCGGCAAUUGCCUCGCUAUUGUCUGGAAUGAAACCUUCAGAUAUCCACAACUGAUAUAACUGCCUGGUGGAUGUCUCUAGGUGUACAGGAAACAUAGAUAAGUAAGGAAAACAAAGUUUCAAGCAAAAAGGUAAACAACUCUCAAUGGUCCUCUAGUAGGCACUAAAUCAAGCCAAAUAUUCUGUCCACUUUUAAACUGAAAUGAGGUGACGAUAUGAAUUUCAGUGAGUGUUAUUAGUACUCCACUUCCAUUCUGAUUAUCCGGAAGUAUUUCUUGAAUAACAUCCCACACUUCAAUGCUUCACACAUCAUCAACCACAAUCAAAUACCGCUUGAUCAUUAGAUAUUCAUGAAGAAAUUUGUUUUCAUUUCAUAAUUUUUAUCCUUUAUUACACUCAACCUAGAUGAAGGCAUUAGAAACUUAAUAAUGAUAUCUAAUAUUUGGUCAUCAUCACCAUCAUAGCUGUAAGGCUUUGGAACCUAAGCGUGACAAUUAAAAUAAUGCUUCACAUCACUGCUGCAUUAAGCCUCUGCAGCAAAAGCCACAUUGCCCAACCCAACGCUAUCAAGAUGGCCACCACUGAAAGCUGAGGUGGCCCCUCUAUUAAUAUAUCUAACAACUCCUCCAUUUUGUCUUCUAGACCCACCGUGCCCCUAUGUCCUUGUUGAGUGAUGCUGUUGAGAAUGUGUCAAUGACCUUCUCAGAUUCAUAUGUAAAGCAAUUGAUUUCUGGUGCCAAGGUCUGGGUUGUCAAUUUCAUCUUCUCCUAUUUUUUUGCAGCAGAAGCUAGGACAUAUCAUAUUCAAAGUCCCUCAGCCAAGGAGUAACGAUUUCAACCUCGGCACAAAGGUUUUGAAUAGGUUGUUUUGCAGCAUCAGGCAAUGUGACUUCUUCGCUAGCUAACGUCCUUCUCAGCCUCUCUGAAAAUAGUCUGAAGUUGAUGCCCAUAUCUCCUCAAUCCAAAAAUUAGUGCUGGCUCCCAUGCCUCCCUUCUCUUAGCUAGUACUCCACCCAAGCAGUUGAAUCAAGAUUGCUGACUCUCAAAUUAGAACAGAUCAAGGCAGAGCAGUGCGGGAAAUGAAUCUCACGAUACUCAGUCUUCCAUAUGUUGCAAAAAGAAUAAAGCAAAGAGAAAUAACUACAACAUCAUCAAGUAUCAAUCAAGACCAAUUUGUUUUAUACAUCCACUGUCAAUAAAGAAAGGGUGAAAACAAUUCCACUGGGACCAUAAAGCUUAUCUAAAAAGAAAAGAACAGAGUAAGCACAAGAGCAUUAUCAAUUAUUUAACAAUUUAAGCUGUGGAAAAAUAGAAAAUCAUGCCUGCCACUUAUUAAAGAAGCAAUAACAUAGCAACGUCAUAAAAGCAAUGGAUACAAUCAUUGCUAUAUGUUGAAAUUAACUAACUUCACAAUCUGGACAUGAACUCAUUUGAUUGCAACCAUUAAGUAGACUUAUAGAUCACAUGACACAUGAUCUUAUAAAUGGACUAAACAUAACAAAACACACAUCUCCAUGUCCAGGCUUUGGUGGCUACAUAAUUACAAAACAGCAUGUAAGUAUAUAAAUACAGAAAAAAAUUAUAAGACACAAAAUUUGUUCACAAAGUAAGAAAUUACCUCUUGUUGAUGAGUCCAGAAAUGACCGAGGUGUAGUUUUAAUUGAGCUGACGAUCUUCCUCCACAUACAUCACCAUUUUUUCUUUUUUGGACGCAAUGAGACAUGACUUGGCAUCAUUGUCAUUGAAAUACACCAGAUAUUUCUAGAAUGCCUGCGAAUCUAAUUUAUUUCCAAACACACUUGAGAAUUGGGAUUGUCAAUAAAAGAUGAACAUUGAUCAUUGAUGUGUAGGUUUCAAGUAUUUUGUGUAUGAUGCGGAGAUAAAUUAGAACUCUACAUGACCAUCUGAAGAAUUUUUUCUCAAAUGAAUCUUUUGAGUUGGAAUUUAGACAGAUUCACUAUCUAAGUAUCUUGAAGCAGUGGAGAAUACAUAUGACAAAGGUUGAAGUAACUAAUUUUAUGAGCAGGAACUGAAAUGAUUUUGGCAUGAGAUUACAACAGGUGAUUAACAUAUAUGCUUCGUCUAAGGCAGCCUCAUUUUAAGUGUUAUUUCAUCAGGUCAACAAUCUUCAGGAGAAAAAUGAAUCAAGGGCAAUAAAGGAGGUGGUUGAUGCUAGUGAUUCCUGAGUGUAGCAGCAAAAAUAAAACUAAAUUGUAGAUUUGCUGUAGUCUUACAAUAGACUCACCCUGUCCUUGUCCUUGUCCUUGUCCUUCUUCUUAUACUGAUGAAUAUGAGGCCGAUGAUAUUUCUGUGAAUAAAGAAAAUGAUAAUAGAAAUGGAACCAUUGGGCAAAUGGUACUGCUGUACCGUACAUCCGCCUUGGCCGUACAGCAGCAUCAGUAUGAUAAAAACUGUAAAAAAAAAGGGCUUUCCUAGAGGUGUAAAUAUCAUGACCCUCACUAGAGAUACCAAGAAAGUCAGCUAGGUCCGCAUCAUCAAAUUCAAUAGGCACAUCGCCGACUUGAGUAACUAUCCUAUUUAGGCGAGUUGCGAAGAUUUCCAUGUUCGAAUAAAAGACUCGUACUAAGUUGGGAUAAACUCGGUCAUCAAAGUCAAUGGCAGACUCCCAAGGCUGAAGCAUAUCCCUAAUACUUCUACCACAUACAACUAAGGUACUGAAAUCAUCUAUUUCAACAUAAGAAGAGUCAAGUACCUUUCGACCAUUGAAGCGAUUCUCGAACCGCUUGGCCAAGGAAGGCAUGGCAAAACUUAAUUAAGGCAAAUGGGUAUUCAACCACGUUGAGUUUUAUUCAACGUGGGUAUUAAUGGAUGAAUGAUUUUGGUAGAAUUAAAGUUUUUUUUUUCCGUUUUUGUUUCAUUUGUCAACUCCAUUUAAUCAAUUAAUCUCAAUGGCUAUAAGGAUCAUUUUUAAUGCAAACGGGUAUUUCUUUGCUGCAAAAGACGGCUUUGGUGUGAUUGUAAGGAAUUGAGAGUGAGCAGCACAUCCUGCGUGCCAUCAACUUCUUUGCACUACAGGCACCCUCUGCAUGCUGUGAAGGGAAAAAUGUGAAAACCAUUGCAUGCUGUGGGGCUGCUAAUCAAUCAAUAGAGAAAGAAUUCAGUAAUCAAUUCUAGCAAAGCUUCCAAAACGUGCAGCACUAUAGAUUAAAUCUUCCACUUUCAGAACUUUACUCAUUAAUCUUCUGCUCCAAAUCACCAAUGAUUAGUGCUGGUUUUUUAUUUUACAAGGGCUUAAUCUCCAUAUAUCUGAAGACUAUGAAGAUUAGGCAAUAUGCCCCAAUUUCUUUUUGUUGUGUUUAAUCCUCUGACAGUACCAAGAUCAAACACCUUAGACCAUCUUUGAUUUGAUGUAUAAAGACUCGUUCUCCGAAAUCCAAACUAAAAAUUGAAUCAAAGUGCCUAAAUCCAGUGAAGACAAGGAUACAAGCUUUCAAGCUUUCACUAUUUCACAAAUCAAGGUUACCAGGAUGUAGAGCUUGUUACAGAGAACAAGAAUAUACAACUUUCUACUUUAACUCUCUCUCUCUCUCUCUCUCUCUCUCUCCAUAGCUUUGAUGAGAUCUGAGAAGAUGACCCAUCAACCAGCCUUAUAAACUAUGAUAAGGCCAUCUCUAACAAUCCCAGAAUUUUCCUGCACUUUUUUAACUAACCCCAACUGACUUUUGACCAGCAUUCUCGCCCUUAUAAUGACUGACACGUCGGUGAAAUUCCAAAAAACCGAACAACAAUGUCGUUCUGCCAGUGUUGAGAUGAUGAGAUGAGAUCAAAGCACAAAUACUUUUCUUCUAACUGAAGUACUAAGCUUGAAGUUGAACUGUACCGCUACUUAAAAACUAGAGAAAGAAAUAAAAUAAAAAUAAAAACAUAACAUAUAUCAAUUUGAAUGUUGACAAAUUGAAUACACACCAGUGAAACUGAAAAUAGAAAGUAAAACAAUUAAUCAGACUUUUGUACAAUAUAUUAAUCUGAACAUGACAUUAUUACUUUUAGCAUGCAAAUCCUUGACAAUUUGAAUGUUGACAAAUUGAAUACACACUAACUGAAGUACUAAGCUUGAAGUUGAACUGUACCGCUACUUAAAAACUAGAGAAAGAAAUAAAAUAAAAAUAAAAACAUAACAUAUAUCAAUUUGAAUGUUGACAAAUUGAAUACACACCAGUGAAACUGAAAAUAGAAAGUAAAACAAUUAAUCAGACUUUUGUACAAUAUAUUAAUCUGAACAUGACAUUAUUACUUUUAGCAUGCAAAUCCUUGAAAACAAAGAAACCAAACAACGUGUAGACAACUCAGCAGAAGUGAACACUGAAAGGAUGAAGGCUGGAUUCUGGUUGAAAUUGAAACUUUGGCUGCAGUACAGUUAAGAUAUUUUCCGCUGUGCUUUUACCUGCACAUACAACUGAUUGAAGAUCUUAUCAUACAGUUUUUAAUGAAUGGUGUCAGCAUCAGGAACUGUGAUGGACACUUCAAGUUUAUGUUGAGACAAAAAUUAGAAGCAACCACAAUUAGAAUGUAGAAAACACUUUAUAUUAUGAUUAUAGUUUAGGCAGCUGCAUACUAUCAAAUCUUUUGUGGAGAAAAAAAAAACUUUUAUAUGAAAUUAGAUCGAUAAUUAAAGGUUGAAGUUAUUGGGGAAGAAGAAAAAACUUACAUCAAACUCAAUCAGGGCUAAUCAAAUUCCGUAAGGAUAAAUCUGAACGCCAUACUGCUCCUUAUCCUUGAAUUCCCGUAGCUUUUGUCUCAGCUCUGGCUGAGGCCACCAGCAAUCGAAUUUGUUUAAGCUCUUUAUGCACCAGAGCUAUUCAGGAACCCUUUUUAAGUAAGCACAAGGGUUGAUAAGCACGCAUUCUAGUUUUGGCAUGGCCCCAGUCCCCAUAGUCCACUCCUCUAGCCAUAGCAUUGAUUUCAUGUGCAAUACCUUAAGCCUUGGAAAACCAUCAGAACCACAAGUCAGCUUUCUACCUGAAUACGAGUUUUGCUUCAGUUUGAGCACUUGAAGAAGCGGGAGCUUUUCUAGUGUCGGCAUGGGAUCAUCCAUUAGGUUAGUAUUAGAAAAACUCAAGUGGGUUAGACUAUGAGGAAAUAGGUAUUCAGCAAGGAUGAUUUUGGAGAGCCGUGGCAUCUUGCUUUCGUUCACCAACUUCAAUGACUCGAGGCAGCUCAAUCUGCAAAUACUUUGGGACAACAAAAAUUGAUAAUAACUUAAAUCUCCCCAUAUGCAGAGAUUUCGAAGACUAGGCAGUCUGCCCAAUAUAUCUUCAGUACAGCAGCAAGGAUGCAAGGCCGAAAUGAAAUUGACAUUUUCCAGAGAGCCGCAAUAUUUUCCUGGACGUGCAGGAAGUAUGAUUGAGCCAAAAUUUAGAUGCCUGAGUUUGUUCAUCUUCCAAAACUCAUCUGCUGUAUGAUCUAUGUCGCUAAAAAGCAUAUUGAGUGUGUACAUGUUCGAAAGAUAGUUGAAAAAUGAUGAAGGAAGGCUUUUCAGGGAAGGGAUAUUCAACUUCAAAUAUCUUAAAAGAGAUAAAUUUUCAAUAUUGGACGGAUAUUGGUUGAGAACAAGGGAUCCUAAGUCUAAUACUCUGAGAAGUUUGUACAUUUCACAAAUUUUCUGCCAAUCUAUGGGGUCAAAGUGGUCGCUUUCUGAAGUGAAGUACAACAAGGAAUGCAGGUGCGGGUAAUAAUCAUCUAAGUAAGCAAAAUCGCUCUGUUGUUCUAGAGCACAGAAACGUUUGACAUUUUUUCGUGAUUCACCUUUUGCAUCCAGGGUAGGGGAAAAGACAAAUUCAGCAUUCAAAGCCACUACAAGCAAUGAAGGCCAACAACGACUACGGAUAGAGCAUGUGUUGAUUGUGCCUCCAGCUCUUCUCUUCUUUACUUCAACAAAGCCUCUAUUGAUUAGUUGUUCUAAGUACUUCUCAGCAGUUGCCUCGCUGUUGUCUGGAAUGAAACCUUCAACUAUCCACAACUGAUAUAACUGCCUGGUGGAUAUCUCUAGGUGUGCGGGAAACACAGGUAAGUAAAGACAACAAAGUUUCAAAGGAAAAGGUAACAUGCAAUGUGCGACGGAUUGAAGGAAAAGGGGCUUAUCAAUUGCUUCCCUUUUAUUUUCUUCUAAUGAGAUGCUUCCAUGGUAUAGGAUGUGGAAAGGCCAUCCUUGGUAUGUCACUCGCAAUGGUCCUCCAGUUGGCACUAAAUCAAGCUGAAUAUUCUGUCAGUUUUCGAACUGAAAUAAGAUGACGAUAUCAAUUUUAGCGAGCGUUAUUAGUACUCUAUGUUGAUGCUGAAAUCUGCUCGCCCUUUGCCCGACAAGAUUUUUACACUAACGUUCACGUUAUCAAUAAUGAAGAUAUCAAUUCCUUCUUACUUCAACGAUUGCUCCAGCCACUGAAGUUGGAGUUGUCCCUUUUUUUCUCACUAAGCCUGCGUUCACAAAAGUGGAUCAGAGACACCGGUGGUUUUGCCGGCGCAAACCCUCUGAUGCCUAAGUUAGCUAAAGGUGUUUAUGGGAAAACGGUGCAAUUAGGGUUCAAAUAAUUUCUUAGAAUUAGCUCACUCUCGGUAUUAAAAAGCGUCUGGAUACAAUUUGGCAGAGUUUUCCCUUCUCUCAUUUUUUCUUCCCUUUUCUUCAUUGAUUUCUUCUUCUUUUAUAGCCGCUGUCCCACGUUCCUGUUUAGCCUUAAUCCCUCCUUUUUCGGGUGGUGGCAGCCCCUCAUGGGACUCUAACUGCUACAUUAUGGGCAAACGUGGGAUCUCGCGUCUCCCGCAACGGUUCUGGAAAAAGCGCAACUACCGUGAUUCUGUGGGAUCGUGUUCCCACUUUUUCGGGGGAUGGGUAUCGGCUCGGUAUAUACCUCUGGUCAGUAUACUCCCCUGGUUGGUACUCGUCUCUAGUCUGCUCAUAUUUGUCCCCGUGUUCUGCUCGUACCAUUUGGCUGAGAUGAUCCAUGCCGGGGCAGAAAUAGUAGCAUGGCCGACCUGAUGCUUUUAUUUACUUAACACCAGUCCCCCAGUUUAUGGUCUUGCAAGUGAAAUGAAUUAAGAAUAGAAACUGAUAGUCAAAUGUUACCAACCCGGGGGCUUCUCAUCUGGUCUUCUAUUUACCGGGACGGACCUGAGGUACCAUUUUUCUUCUGGGGAGGUUCCGACCUGAGCAUGGGCCUUAAUGAGCAUAUCCAUUGCAUAUCUGGGCUUGCAUCUAGCCUGGCCUCUUGUAACGGUUAGUGACGUGGCAUCUCCAGACUGUUCGUAUUUGAAAUUUGAAACGACGGGCUAUUCGUCCUCGAUAUACGGUAAGUGAGCUGGCAUCUUUAUCACUUAAAUGCUUUCAUUUCCUCCUUUUCGUUUCAAAUCCCUAGACUUACAUCAUCAUCGUUUUGUUAUUCGUCUCUCCGUCGUUAACCUACCCCCUCUUUGAACUUUACUUACACUUCCCGUGUUCGGAGUAUCUACUUGCUGGGUUUUUUCUCUGUCACGGCAGCGCUAUCAGGGCCAGUUCAUUCCAGGUAUUGCUUUUAAUCUCUUCCCUGGUUGUUGUUGAUUGGGUUCUGUGUUGCCCCCUUUUGUAUCCGUAUACUUGAGUUUUCUUUGUUUUCUUUUGGGAUUCUGAUAUGUCAAAUCGGAAAAGGAAGUUAAUUGUUGAUGAGAGUGAUGAAGAAACAGGGGAUUCAGACCUUAACGUGUCAAUACCCACCGAUUUCUUAGGUCCCUCCAGUAGUGUAGGUCCUUCCCAUGGCAGGGAUAUCCUUGAAUACCCACGCCCCCUGACCAUUUCGCCUUCCCCUGAAUUAGAGCUUGUGGGGAAUAGAGGUGGACCCACAUCCAGCUCUGGUGAAGAUCACAGUUAUGGUGGGGUUGGGGUCCCUGAAGAAGUGGGUGAUGGCGAGAGAAGCAGUUCCGAGCCGAGCGGACCCUCUAGGAAAAGGAACUUUGGCCACAUAGUGGAGGCAGAUUCUUACCCUAUUGAUUUCAUAGCUUGUGCCACCACCCCCACUGAUCUAUUAAAGCUUAGGAACCUCUACAACAUUCCUGAGGAGGUUCUCCUUGUAGUUCCUGGGAAAGGUGAUGUACCUAGUCGGCCUCCGAAGGGGUACGUGACGAUGCACUUGGAGAGUUUCAGACUAGGAGCUCGGCUGCCCCUUCAACGUUAUUUUGCCAAGAUAUUGGGUGGUAUGCACCUGGCCCCAGGUCAGCUACACCUAAACGGGUGGAGGGUUCUCUCGGCUAUGUUUGUGCUGUGGGAGAGGUGCGGGUCGGAGGAGCCUUCCCUUGUUGAAGUGAAGCAUCUGUACCAGCUGCGAAGCAGCCCAAAGGAGGCGGGCUGGUACUACUUCAUGUCCAGUUUUGCAAAGAGGAAACCGAUCACUGGGUUUCCUUCUUCAUGUAAGAAUUGGAAGAACAAAUUCUUCUUUGCUGGAGGAAACUGGUGUCCAGCAGUCCGGUCGCUUGGUGGGGAUAUUUACCUUCCAAUGCAUUUUAUCACCCCAGGUCGUUCAUUUUUGCCUAUAUUCUUAAUCAAAAUUGCUACUUAUUGAGUUCUUUAACCUUGUUUGUUUUUUUCAGAAUCUUGGGGUUUGGUUAAGGACCUUGAAGACCGACCCUUGCUCCAGGUUGAAACUACUCUGGUGAACGCGUCUACCUGCCAAGACCUGCUGUCACUAAUAAACUUGGUCGGUUCGGGCUUAGUGGACAUUGUUGCCUGGAUGGAUAACAAUAUCCUCAGUGCAAUGAGCAGAAAGCGUGGUCGGGCUCCGAGCAGCUCCAGCAACCCUCCUCCUCCUCCGAAGAAAGUCAGUGUUAGCCCUUCUAAGGCUUCUGUUCCUGCUCUGCCCCCUCCUCCACCUAGUAAGAGUGUCGGGGAGAAAACUAUUGACAAGAGUUCUGAGGUCAGUACACGCUCUGGGGACCGAUCCUCCCCUCUUCCAGCUCGUGAUCAGGGUGACUACCUGAUCCUGUAUCAGAGGGACUAUGGGAAGUCAGUGGGACCGAAGAUGGUCCAGGACAUUGAGAGCAUGAAUCUCAAUGAAUUAGUUGGUUCUGUCCAAAGGGUCUCCUUCAAGUUGGCCACUCUAGUAUCUUGUUACAAGAAUAGGAUCACGCGCCAAGAGAGGAAGCUCCAAGCUGAGAACCAGGACUUGAAGAAGAGGGUUGAGUCUGUUGAUCGCUCGAAGGAGAAGCUGGUCGAGCUGAACGGGUAGAUUAUGGAGCUAGAGGAGAAAGUUGCGGUUGCUGAGUCCACUUCCUCCAAACUUGAGGGUGAGUUGGGUGACCUGAAGUCUGAUCUUCAGGUUACUCAAAGUGAAAGAGAUACUCUGAGGACUGCCCUUGAGGGAGAAAUCAAAUCCUUGAGUGAGCAGCUGGCUGAGGAGAAAGGUAAAUCCGCUGACGUGGACGAUCGGCUGGAUGCCGAGUAUGACUCUGGGGUUGUUUUCUCCUAUAAGUGCAUCAUGUCUGUGCUUAAGGAAGAAUAUCCCGAGCUGGACAUGAGCAAGCUGGAGGCUGGAGUAUAUGGCAGAGAUCGGCCAGGCAGAUAAAGAGUAGGGUGAGCAGGAUCAAGUGGAGGCUCCUUUAGAUGGGGUGCAGGAGGGGGAAGUUGGGGGACAUGCUUUUGAAGUGGGACAAGGGUCCGUGCCUCCUCCUCCCGGUAUUGCUGAUCUUCCACCUCCAGAGAUAGCUGAUCCUUCACUUGCUAAAGCCGUUGACCCUCCUAAUCCUUAGGUCUAUUUUUGUAUAGACUCUAGAUUUUCAUUCGUUUUGUAAACAUUUAAAUGCUUAUAAAUUUUUAGAUGUUCUUUACUGGCUUUCUUGUCUGGUUUUUGCUCAUGGAUUGUUUCUGCAAAUUAAUUUGACAAUUUAUCUGAUUUUGCUUGUUGGUUCUUUAGUGGACCGAGUAGGAAUAUGCAUCCGCUUGCCUUAGUAAAUUUUUGCAAAAUUGCCUGUUGGUCGUUUGUUGACCGAUCAAGAGCAGGCACUUACUUGCCUUAGUAGAAUUUUCGUAAAAUUGGCUGCUGGUCUUUCGUUGAUCGAGCAUAAGCAGGCACUUACUUGCCUUUGUAAAAAUUUAUUGAAAUUGCCUGCUGGUCUUCGUUGAUCGAGCAGGAAUAGGCACUUGUUUGCCUUUGUGGAAAUUUCGUAAAAUCGCCUGCUGUUCUUUCGUGGGCCGAGCAGGACCAGGCACACACUUGCCUUGGUAAGAAUUUCAUAAAUUUAGCUGUUGGUCUUUCGUUGACUGAGCAGGAGCAGACACUUACUUGCCUUAGUAGAAUUUUCAUAAAUUUAGCUGCUGGUCUUUCAUUGACCGAGCAGAAGCAGACACUUACUUGCCUUAGUAGAAGUUUCGUAAAUUUAGCUGCUGGUCUUUUCGUUGACCGAGCAGAAGCAGGCACUUGCUUACCUUAGUAGAAUUUUCAUAAAUUUAACUGCUGGUCUUUCGUUGACCGAGUAGAAGCAGACACUUACUUGCCUUAGUAGAAUUUUCGUAAAUUUAGCUGCUGGUCUUUCGUUGACCGAGCAGAAGCAGACACUUACUUGCCUUGGUAGAAUUUUUUUUUAUUGGGUUUGCUAGCAGGGGGAUUUCGUGCUGAAUUCAUCUUUAUUGAAAUUUGAAUGCAUUACAGGAACACAGAAUAUAUGUAUGUGCAACAAGCCAUCAUGCAUUUAAUAGAAAUAACUUAUGAAGACUUAGUAGAGCACUUUGCUUACUGGAAAUACUUCUUCAAGUGCUCGGCGUUCCACAACCUCUUUACGUCUCGUCCAUCUGUGUACACUAACUUAUAAGCUCCUGGUCCAGUUGCUCGUAUCACCCUGUACGGGCCUUCCCAUUUCGGGCCAAGAGCGCCAUGGUUGGGAUCCCUGGUGUUUUGGUUCACCUUCCUAAGCACCCAAUCUCCUGGUCGGAACUGCCUCACGCGUACGUUCUUGUUGUAAUAACGCGUGACCCUUUGCUGACAUUGGGCCACUUUCUGCGAGGCCCCUUCCCUUUUCUCCUCCAGCAGGUGCAGGCUCAAGAAGAUCUGCUCGCCAUUUUGCUCCUCAUUGAAGUAUUCCGUCCGAUGUAUUCGUACUCCAAUUUCUGCUGGGACUACCGCCUCAUGACCAAAAGCUAAGGCAAAUGGGGUUUCCUCUGUAGCGGUUUUGUGAGUUGUCCGGUAAGCCCACAGUACCCCUGGUAGCUCGUCAACCUAAGCUCCCUUCUUCUCUCCCAGUCUAGUCUUCAGGAGUUUCUUUAUCACUUUGUUGGCUGCUUCCACUUUUCUGUUUGCCUGGGGGUGUGCGGGGGUGCAGAACUUCAGGUCCACCCCUAGGUUCCGGCAAAAUUCUCUGAAGUUGUUGUCAAAUUGCCUUCCAUUGUCGGUGAUGAUGGUAUAAGAGAUUCCGUAUCUGCAGAUGAUAUUCUUCCAAAUAAAAUCCGUUGUCUUUCUCUCCGUGAUUUGGCUAAGGACCCCCACUUCUAUCCACUUGGUGAAAUAGUCUAUUGCUACAAUUGCAUGGGUUGCCGCUCCUCGGCCUUUCAGUAACGGACCAAUCAGGUCGAUUCUCCAUUGAGCAAAAGGCCAUGGGGAUGUCAUAGUGGUGAGCUUUUCUGGGGGUUGUGCGGGAACCUCUGAGAAGCUUUGGCAGAUUUUGCAACUCUUUGCCAUCCUUUUCGCAUCCUGGUGCAUGGUCGGCCAAAAGUAUCCUUGCCGGAGUGCCUUGAAGGCUAAAGUUCUUUCUCCUGAAUGAUUUCCACAUAUUCCUUCAUGAAUCUCCCUUAGUACAUAGUCUGCCUCCUCAUCAUCCAAACAUCGCAAAAGGGACAAGGUGAAUUCUCGGCGAUAGAGCACCCUAUCGAGCAGUGCAUACCUCGCUGCUCGGCGUUUUAACUUUCUUGCUUGCCUUUUGUCCUCCGGUAAAAUGCCAUCGCGGAUGUAUGCGAGAAUCGAGUCCAUCCAAGAUUCUUCGAUGCUUAUUCUCAUUACCUCUACUUCCUCUCCUAUACUCGGCGAGGCCCUCAUCUUUAGUGGAACUGACUUAGGUAAUUUGGGAUCUACUGUUGCAGCCAUUCUUGCCAACAUGUCUGCUCGGUAAUUUUCAUUCCAGGAUAUCUGCUUCACCUCUACCUUUUUGAAGAGUUCAACCAUUUGUUUCGCCUUCUUCAAAUAAAGCCCCAAUUUCUCUUCCCUUACUUGGAAUUGAUCACUGAGCUGAUUACAUAUUAGCUGGGAAUCUGCUUGGAUUUCUACUCUUUCUGGGCUUCGGAUUAUAACUCCUGCUCUAGAUCCCUGUUCACUACGUGACCCAUCAACCAUUACCAGCCACACCCCCUUUGGAUCCUUCUGUUCCACUAGUUGUUCCUCCUGGACCUCUUCCCCUGGUUCAACACGGUCAACCAUAAAAUCAGCCAGGGCUUGGGCCUUGAUUGCUCCUCGGGGCCUAUAGGACAGGUCGAAUUCGCUCAGCUCCAUGGACCACUUUACUAACCGCCCUGAUGCAUCUGGUUUUUGGAGCAUUUUCCGGAGAGGUUGGUCGGUCAUCACAAUUAUCGGGUGGGCCUGAAAAUAUGAUCGCAGUUUUCGUGCUGCCGUUUUUAAAGCCAGUGCCCAUUUCUCCAUCAAUGGGUACCUAGUUUCUGCGUAUACCAGGGCUUUGCUAGUGUAAUACACAGGGUGUUGCUUCCUUUCUUUUUCUCGGACUAACACUGAGCUGGUGGCCCAUUUUGAGAUUGCCAAGUAUAAAAACAGUUGGUCACCUUCUCUCGGAGUUGAUAGUAAUGGGGCGUGAGCCAGAUAUUCCUUCAGCUGCCCAAACGCUUCCUCACAUUCUGAUGUCCACUCCAUCUUUCUCCCUUUCUUUAUGGUUUCGAAAAAAGGGUGGCAUUUAUCUGUGGCCCGCGAGAUGAAUCGGUUCAAUGCUGCCAAUUUCCCUGUAAGGCUCUGCACCUCCUUAACUGUUCGUGGGGACCUCAUUUCUGUUACCGCCCGUAUUUUUUCUGAGUUGGCCUCGAACCCUUGGUGGCUCACCAGGAACCCCAAAAAUUUGCCAGAGCUGACCCCAAAUGCACAUUUCUCCGGGUUUAGCUUCAUUCCAUACUUCCUCAGUAGUUCAAAGGUCUCUUCCAAAUGUUUCACGUGAUCACUCGGUUCUUUGGACUUUGUGAUCAUAUCAUCCACAUAUAUCUCCAUAGUAUGACCGAUCAAUUGCUUGAAGAUCUUGUUCACCAACCUUUGAUAGGUGGCUCCUGUAUUUUUCAGGCCAAAAGGCAUCACCCUGUAGCAAAACAAACCCAUGUUAGUUAUAAAGGUGGUGUUUUCCUCAUCCUGCUCGUCCAUGGGUAUCUGGUUGUAUCCCGAAAAGGCAUCCAUGAAGCUGAGCAGACUGUGACCCGCUGUUGAGUCCACCAAUUGAUCUAUCUUUGGUAGGGGAAAACUGUCAUUCGGACAUGCCUUAUUAAGAUCUGUGAAAUCCACACACAUCCUCCAUUUUCCGUUGGCCUUCUUUACCAGUACUACAUUGGAAAUCCACUCUGAGUACUUGGCCUCCCUUAUAAAUCCUGCUUUCAAUAGUUUCUCCACCUCGGCAUUUAUGGCCUCGUACCUUUCCUAGUUAAAGCAUCUUCUCUUCUGCUUCACCGGCCUCGCCUCAUUCUUGAUUGCCAACUUGUGGCAAGCUACCCCGCGAUCAAUUCCUGGCAUAUCCUCGUGAGACCAGGCGAAUAUAUCUGCAUGAGACUGUAGGCACUUUACCAGCUCGCCUCUUACUGUCCCAACCAAUCCUGAACUGAUCUUAACCACUCUGCUCGGGUUGCUUUUGCUUACCGCAACUUCUUCCAGUUUCUCAACGGGUUCUUGGCGGCCCUUUUUAGACUCUCCUCGGUUAUCUAGAGAAGUAACCUGUAGUGUCUCCUUGGCCGCUGUAGCAUAACAACUCCUUGCCAUUCUCUGGUCGCCUUUUACUACACCAACCACUCCAUUUACUCUGUAUUUCAGUGCCAGAUAAUGCGUAAAUACAACGCAUUGGCUUAUCCUCAUGAAGGGUCUCCCCAGUAUCAUCUGGUAAGGGCUUCUUUCCUCUACCACGACAAAGUCCAGCAUCAUCGUUCUUUCAAACGGCUUUGUCCCCACAGUAAUUGAGAGUUCGAUGAUCCCCAUGGGAGUUAACCGUCCCCCUCCAAAUCCCUUUAAGGAUGUAUUUGUCCGUUCUAAUUUCAAGUCUGCAAUUCCCAUAUCAUCUAGGGCCGACUUAAACAGGAUGUCAACCGAGCUGCCCGUGUCUACCAGUAUUCGUCCCAAUUCUGUACCAGCCACCAUUGCCUUAAUCACCAGUGCAUCCUCAUGAGGAUAUAAGAUACCCUCUUCAUCGUCAUCUGUCCAUAUAAUGGGAACUUGCCGCACUUUUGCCUUCUUGGUUGCUGGCAAAUUGAAAAGCACCUCUUUGCUAGUCAUGGCGUAUCUCCCAUAGUUCUUCCGUGCCUUGUUCGAAUCCCCAGCCAAUGUUGGCCCUCCUGCUAUCACACGGAUAGUCGGCUGUUCACAUUCCAGGCCCCUCUCAGCUCCUUCAUCCCGCGUGUACUGUGAUUCAAUGACGGAGGACACCCCAUCUACAUAUUUAUCCAAAUAACGGUUUCUCACCAAAUCCUCCACCUGGAUCUUUAAGUCACGACAUUGGCUGAUUGUGUGACCGUGAGUGUCGUGAAAUUUGCAAAAUCUGCUCUUAUCCCGUCGGUGAGCAGGUUUUGUUAUAGGGGUUGGAGGGUACAACAGGCCUCGUCCCUCGAUUCUCUCGUACAACUCCUCCAUAGGGACUUUUAACGGGGUGUAUUGUCUAUACGCUGAGCUCUGGUCAAUUAGCUGGACUACUCGGCUAUUAUGAAUAUUGUCCCAAGCGGAUAUUGAAGGUAGCUGACCUGAUCGUCCCGUUCUGGAGUUGGCCGUGUGUAGUGCUUUGGGAGCGUUGUGAUAAGGAUGGUUAGCCAACUGCCGGAAUUCUCGUUGCCGCUCCAGGAAUGGGGGGCGCGGGGGCUGAGCCCUGUUGCGGUCUCUGAGCCAUGGGGUAAGGGCGAGACCGAGCUGAUACCGCACCCAUCAUUGAGGAUUCCCCAGCUCGCUUUCCCGACUCGCUCCCACUUGGGGUUCUCUUUUCCUUUCGUCUCAGCUCCUCCAGCUGUUCACUCUUUAUCCUUGCCGAUUUUUCCUCUUCAAUUUCAAUGUCUCUCUUUGCCUGCUCAUACCUCGCUGAGUAAUUCUGCACCAGGAGACUUCUCAGGUUAUACCAUAGCCAGCCUAUCCUCACACCCUCCUUUAAUCCGCUUAACGCCUGCGGGUGAUUGAAAGCUCCCAAAUUAAACACGGCUCGGUGGUAUCGUUUUACAAAAUCUCGAAGGGAUUCUUGUUCCUCCUGCUUCAUCCCCAUUAGUUCCAUCAUAUCAUCCUCUGGGGCCAUUGCUCCUCGGAACUGUUCGACUAACUCUUGGCACAUCUGCUCGUACCCUCUAAUACUUCCUCGUGACAGCUUGCGGUACCAUUCUCGAGUUCGUCCCUCCAGUGUCAAUGGGAACACCCUACACCUCUGAGCUGGUGUUAACCCCUGAACACCCGUCAUGUCGUUGAAACGUUCAAUAUGCACCAGUGGAUCACUUCGCCCGGAGUAUUUGAGGUCGGGGAAGCGAAAAUCUCUUGGGAUUACAAUACCCAUGAUCUCAAUUGAUAGUGGAGAUUCUUCAUCUAGCAUUAUCCUCCAGCUCGGGGGCUUUCUCUUGCCUUGUAUCUCCUCUAUCACUUGCGCUAAUCUGCGCACCUCUCCCUCCAAUUCUACAGCACGGUCAGGAUCACGCGCAGCUAUCUGAUCUCGCUCCUACUCGGCAUUUUGCAACCCCUGUCUGAGCUCUCCUUCAUCAAUACUGGCCCCUCGGCCAUCAGUUUUCGGUACCCAUCUAGGGCGAGGUUGGUCCCUCCCUUCAUCUACUCGUUCUCCUGGAACCCGACUAGUGCUUCUGUGGGGAUGCACCCCAUUAGGUUGGUCUGCCGGCGGAGGGAUUUCCUCAACUCUACGCCUCCGGAGGCUGGGUUCUGCUCCAACAUCAUCUCUUCCUACGGGGGUUUCACAAUCCUUUCUCCGCUCAUCCCUCAGCUCAUACAGUAUGGUCGCGAGAGUCUCCAUUUGUUUCUUCAUCCGCUCCAAUCGAUCUUGCAUCAUCCUCUCCCGGGCUUCAUUUGUAAUUUCCCAGAGAGUGAUUGUCUCCACAGUUUCAUUAUCCUCCCUCAAAGCAUCCUUCCUCGGCACAUCCAUGUCUAAUCGUUCGUUGCUUCUCCGGUAACUACUAAUUCAGUGGUAGCUUUUUAUCCAGCUCCCCACAGACGGCACCAAAAUGUUGAUGCUGAAAUCUGCUCGCCCUUUGCCCGACAAGAUUUUUACACCAACGUUCACGUUAUCAAUAAUAAAGAUAUCAAUUCCUUCUUGCUUCAACGAUUGCUCCAGCCACUGAAGUUGGAGUUGUCCCUCUUUUUCUCACUAAGCCUGCGUUUACAAAAGUGGAUCAGAGACGCCGGUGGUUUUGCCAGCGCAAACCCUCCGAUGCCUAAGUUACCACAAGGUGUUUACGGGAAAACGGUGCAAUUAGGGUUCAAAUAAUUGCUUAGAAUUAGCUCACUCUCGGUAUUGAAAAGCGUCUGGAUACAAUUUCGCAGAGUUUUCCCUACUUUCCUUUUUUCUUCCCUUUUCUUCAUCGAUUUCUUCUUCUUUUAUAGCCGCUGUCCCACGUUCCCAUUUAGCCUUCAUCCCUCCUUUUUCGAGUGGUGGCAGCCCCUCAUAGGACUCUAACUGCUACAUUAUGGGCAAAAGUAGGAUCUCGCGUCUCCCGCAACGGUUCUGGAAAAAGCGCAACUACCGUGAUUCUGUGGGAUCGUGUUCCCGCUUUUUCGGGGGAUGGGUAUCGGCUCGGUAUAUACCUCUGGUCAGUAUACUCCCCUGGUUGGUACUCGUCUCUAGUCUGCUCAUAUUUGUCCCCGUGUUCUGCUCGUACCAUUUGGCUGAGGUGAUCCAUGCCGGGGCGGAAAUAAUAGCAUGGCCGACCUGGUGCUUUUAUUUACUUAACACUCUACUUCCAUUCUGAUUAUCCGGGAGUAUUUCUCGAAUAAUAUCCCACACUUCAAUGCUCCACACAUCAUCAAUCACAAUCAAAUACCGCUUGGUCAUUAGAUAUUCAUGAAGAAUAAUUUUUUUCAUUUCAUAAUUUUUAUCCUUUAUUUCACUCAACCUAGAUGAAGGCAUCAGAAACUUAAUAAUGAUAUCUAAUAUUUGGUCAGCAUAGCAGGUGUAAGGCUCUUGAACCCAAGCAUGACAAUCAAAAUAAUGCUUCAUAUAGUUGCUGCUGUAAGCCUCUGCGGCGAAAGCCGUCUUGUCCAAUCCAAUGCUAUCAAGUAUGGUCACUGCGGAAAGUUGAGGUGGUCCUUCUAUCAAUAGAUCUAACAACUCCUCCAUUCUAUCAUCUAGACCCACCGUGUCCCUACUUUUAGAAGAUGAAGAUAUACCGGCUUCAGCUUCAAAAGUUUUGAUGGCAUCAAUGAUUUCGGAAUCCGUGUGCUCAAGUUGUUGCAUCCGUUGCUUAAUAUCAGUGAUUCUGCUUUGGGGUCCUUGCAGAGCAUUACAAAUGUCCUUGCUGCCGCUGCUUUGACUCUUUUGUUCACUGAUGCUGUUGAUGAAUGUGUUAAUCACCUUCUCAGAUUCAUACGUAAAGCAAUUGAUUUCAUCCAUAAUGUUCCCGAGAUCAGGGUCAUCAAUUUCAACUUCUCCUAUUUUUUGCAUCAGAAGGCAGGAGAUAUCAUCUUCAAAUUCCCUCAGCCAAGAAGUAACGAUUUCAGUCUCGGCAUGAAGGUUCUGAAUAUGUUGUUUUGCAGCAUCAAGCAACGUGACUUCUUCACCAGCUAACACCCGUCCCAGCCUCUCGGAAAAUAGCAUGAAGUUGAUGUCCAUAUCUCCUCCUCUCUCGGUACCACCCUGUAAUCAGUCCUGUAGCAUGCAAAGAAAUAGUUAAAAACAGAGAGUUGGAAAGAAACUUUGCUUUAAACCUCCCCUACCUCCGUUCUCUUAGCUAGUACUCCAUUCAAGAAAUUGAAUUGAGAUUGUUGACUCUCAAAUUAGAACAGAUCAAGGCAGAGGACUACGGUAAAUGAAUCUUACAAUACACUGUUCUCCAUAUGUUGUAAAAAGAAUAAAGCAUAAGAGAAUAAAUAGGUCUUGAUCAAGGAUCAAUCAAGACCAAUAUGUAUUAUACAUCCACUUUCAAGAAAGAAAAGGUCAAAACAAUUCCACCGGGACCAUAAGGCCUAUUUGAAAAGAAAAGAACAGAGCAAGAUCUUUAGUAAUUUAAGCUGUGGAAAAAUGCAAAAUCACGUCUACCACUUACUGGCGUGCAAAAAGUUUUAUGUAUCCACUGAAACAUUUAUUGUUGAUGAAUGAAACUGGUCUUAGGUUGACCUACACAACUCUUUCUCUCGGUACUCCAGUAGUGCAAGCAUGUUAGUUUAGUCAGUAGUUUCUCCUACACAUAAAUGAUGUUUAUUAUAGAAUUUUGAUAAUGGGUACAAUAAGAAAGUAGUUGCAAAGAAAAUAUUGGGGGUUGAUGUGAUAUCUAUUGACUUGGAGCAUAAUAAAUAAUUACAAAAUCACUAUUUGUCUUUAAUUUUCAUCAUACUCCUUAUUAAAAAAUUAUUAUGAUUACAUAGUCAGUGAUUUAUAUUCACAGAAGACAAAAGUAAUGAAUAAAUAAGCUACCACUUGCAAUUAAUAAAAUGGUAACCCUAUCUGGUAAGGUAGCCCUGUUCAUUGAAAGCAAAAGCAACAGAAUCGUUCACUGUGCUGCCACAAAAUGAUUGUCAUGGAAGGCACCAAAGUUUCCAAGUAACAGACAAAGUCGAAGUAGUUAGCACUAUGAAGCGAGGCUGAAAAUCUUGUUCCUCACGUUAAAUAAUAUUUAAUAACGACCUACUGCUAAUCAUUGUGUUUGUUAAUCUCUGCCUUAUGCCUUAGCUUUAAUAGCAUCUCCAUGUAAUCCUCCCAACCCACUACACGGGAUCAGAGUAUUAGCCAAACAUGUACAUAGAUAACUACUCUCUGUUUCAAUAACUUGUAAUCUUAUCUUAUAUCUCUUUACCGUUAUCUUGUAAUUAUCAUAUAGGCUAUGGCUUAGCUUGUAUUUAUCUUAUAGGCUAUGACUUAUCUUAUAGUGUUUGGCUUAUCAUCCAAGUAUGCUUGACUUGUAUAAAUUGUAACGUUACUCAUUGAUAAAUUAUUGAUUCAUACAAUUUCUUUACAGAGUCAGGCAAGUAUGAAGUUCAUCAAUAAUCAAAUCUCUUCUGUAAAUGAACAAAGCAUAUUGAUUGAGUGCCUAACUGUAGCAACUGGAGUGCUUAAAACCAGAGAUACCUCAGUUGCUGCCCAAUAUCACAAUCCAAUCAAUCAAGAUGCUACCAAGAAUGAACUAAUUUGAAGCUCAAUUGAAAAUGGAAUUGAAACAAGAUAAUGAUGAAAGAACAAAAAGCAAUUAAGAUCAAAUUGAAUUAAAGAAUUGAAAGAACCAACAGAGGAAAAAUCAAUUCAACGUGGUUCAACUAAUUUGCAUUAGCUUGCAUCCAUGGGAGGAAAUUUUUGAUCAGUUUUUAUAGAAAAUACAUUAAUCCCACUUAAUCCAAGACUAGAAAGCAUCACAAACAUUCUUUAUUUUUAUACACAGUCAACUCUCUGCUGAAAUGAAAUCUCUUACUUAAUGAGUACACAGCUGAAACAAAGACAACUGGAAUUACUUUUCAAAUUUGAUACACUGCUAAUAAUAAUGACAAUAUUAAAAUGUGGCAUGUGUUGAUUCUGCUGCCUCAAAGCUUCACUUGAGCUAGCCCUUAAUCUACUGAUUCACCUCACACGAUUUUUGUAACUUGAUCUAAGAAUCAAGUAUGAGUUUGAUAAAUUUCAUGAGAUAGAUAGCAUAAAUUUCAAAGUCGUUAGUUAAUUUGUUAUGAGAUAUCAUAUCACAAACAUAUUUUAUUAGUUUAAAUGAAGCUUAAUAAUUAUUCAACGAGGAUUUAAUUAGUUAAUUGUUUAAAUUUAUUCUUAAUGGAAUGCUAACAAACCAAAUUAAAUUUCUACAUUUAUUUAAUUAUAUACAUGCAUAUCUUGAUAACUAUUUUAACGUGUGAUCCAAUAUAGAACAUAAUUUAAUCUUGAAUUUUGCUCUGAAUAUUUUUAUAGUUGAUUUGUUAUAAAUUUGAACGAGGGAUUGCAAUUACUUGCUCUUUUAUAAAUAUUUUUAUACCGUAGGCAAUAGUUAUAAAGAUUGAUUAUUGAUGAACUUCACACUUGCACACAAAAUUCUAUUAUUGAAAGUCGAUGCUUACUAUAACACGGCGUUUUUCUAGCUUUUACUAGACGUGGUUUCAAUUUAUUGAACCAUUAGAGGGACACAUCAGUAGUCACAAAAGUGCCCCUGUAAAUGGCAAUCCUUGUAAUCAUUUUGCUGCCGCUCUUCAUUCCACUCCCAAGUACGCAGCCCAAACUUCAACUUUCUUUGGGAAGGUAAUGAAGCGUGACUUUGUCUCAGUAAUCUGUCUUUCAUAUUCCAUUGAAUGAGCCAAAGGAGGGAUGCUUCUAUAAUUAGUAGCAACUAUCAAUCAUAUUGAAGGAAUUUCUGCAACAGAUAAAGAAAGAAUAUCAGAGAACAAAGCUGUUAAUCAAUCAACACAUGUACAGCAGUAUUAGUAUUUCUGCCUCAUUGUAUUGCCUAAGCGGGUAUUAGGAUUUCUCCACAAGAACGUUUACUAAGACAUUCAGCCAAGUGUGAAGUUCAUCAAUAAUUAAUCUUUUCUGGAAAUAAACGGAACCUAUUGAGUGUCAGACUUGCCCAUCCUUUGAAACAGGAUUUCAGAGCAAGCAACAGAACAAAGACAGAAAAUACAUUCAACUCAACCCAAACACUAGCAAGCAUCACAAAUAGUAAUUAUUUUUUGUACACAAUUAACGAAACCAUGGCCGAAGCACAAAUCAAUGAACUAUCAACUGAAAAGCCAAAACAAAACUUCUUAUUUAUGAAUAGACAGCGGAAACAAAGAAACCAAAAAAAGUCCACCACCGUAGGAUCAGGACUUAUUUGUGUAGACAGCAAAUGUGAAGACGGAAAGGUUCUGGUUGAAAUUGAAGCUCGGGCUACAGUCAUGAUGUUUUCUUGUCAUGACCCAACCCGUCUUGCCAAUUAAGGUGUGGAUCACCCCUUAUAAACCCAACAUCGCUCCCGUGCUUUGCCGAUGUGGGAUUUGCCUAGGGUGUUACAUACACCUCCCCUUGGGGACUCAGCGUCCUCGCUGAGGUUUGCCCCACCAUCGCUUGAGAGGACAUGCGGAGCCGCUUUGAUACCAUAAUGUCAAGACCCAACCCAGACCUGGCAAGAUAUUGUCCGCUUUGGGCCUUAACAAGGCCUGCACAGAUUUGUUCUUGGGGCGCUCACACACCCCAAAACGCGUCUUGCCAAUUAAUGUGUGGAUCACCCCUUAUAAACCCAGUAUCUCUCCCGUGCUUUGUCGAUGUGGGAUUCGCCUAGGGUGUUACAUACACACCCCCUUGGGGACUCAGCGUCCUCGCCGAGGUUUGCCCCACCAUCGCUCAAGAGUACACGUGGAGCCGCUCUGAUACCAUAAUGUCAAGACCCAACCCAGACCUGGCAAGAUAUUGUCCGCUUUGGGACAAGUGGACACGCGAAGCCACUCUGAUACCAUAAUGUCAAGACCCAACCCAGACAUGGCAAGAUAUUGUUCGCUUUGGGCCUUAACAAGGCCCGCACGGAUUUGUUCUUGGGGUGUAUGGGCGUAAAGCGGACAAUAUCUUGCCAGGUCUGGGUUGGGUCUUGACAUUUUUGCUCUAAUUUCACCUACACAAGUCAUUGAAGAAAUUGUGAAAAAUAAGAAAUCUAAAUUUUUUUUUCUUAACUACUAAAACAAAUGAACAUCGAUGUAUUGAAGAGGGUUGAUGAUUGGGGUGAGCAUUAGAAACUCUAAAGGGUAUUUAAUGUUGAGGCAAAUUAGAAGAAAACAAUUUGUAUAACCAUUUUUGUAUUGAAGAAAAGGGGAAAAAAUAUAUGAAAUUGGAUAAAUAAUUAAAAUUUGAAGAAAUUGUGUAAAAUGAGAAACAUACAUCAAGUUCAAUAGGGGCUAAUCAAAUUCCGUAAGGAUAGCCACUCGGCCAAAGGCCGAGUGGUUAGAGUUGCUGCCCUCCAAGUUGGAGGGCAGCAGUUCGAACCCCCACAAAUGCAUUGUGGGGGUAUUUCCUUCCUUCAUUAAAAAUUGAGUGAAGGUAGUCUUCCUUCUUACCCAAGAGUGAGGAGUAGACAUUCCUCGAAUAUUUGUGAGGGUUAAAAUUUGGGUAGAGCUCCAUUAGCAUUGAUGUAAGUUGGUCCCAGUAAUAGUCUGAUUUAUAAAUAUCAGUUAUAACCUCAUGUAAUAUGAGUUGUAGUUUGAGCAAUAGUCUCAUGUAAUAAAAAAAAAUUCCAUAAGGAUAUAGUUGAAUGCCACACUGUUCCUUAUCCUCAAAUUCCCGUAGCUUUUGUCUCAGCUCUGGUUGAGGCCACCAGCAAUCGAACUUGUUUAAGCUCUUUAUGCACCAGAGAUGUUCAGGCAUCUUUUUCAAGUAAGCACAAGGGUUGAUAAUCAAGCAUUCUAGUUUUGGCAUGGCUGCAUUCCCCAUAGUCCAGAAGUCAGCUUUCUGUAUGAAUACGAGUUUUGCUUCAGUUUGAGCACUUGAAGAAGCGGCAACGUUUCUAGCACCGGCAUGGGAUCAUCCAUUCGGUCAGUAUUAGAAAAACUCAAGUGGGUUAGACUAUGAGGAAAUAGGUAUUCAGCAAGGACGAUUUUGGAGAGCCAUGGCAUCUUGCUUUCAUUCGCCAGCUUCAAUGACUUGAGACAGCUCAAUCUGCAGAGACUUUGAGACAGCAAAGAUUGAUCAUAACUUAAAUCUCCCCGCAUUCAGAGAUUUUGAAGAUUAAGUAGCCUGCCUAAUAUAUCUUCAAUACAGCAGCAAAUGUGCAAGGCUGAAAUGAAAUUUAGAUUUUCCAGAGAGCCACAGUAUUUUCCUGGAUGCGCAGGAAGUGUGAUUGACCCAAAAUUUAGAUGUCUGAGUUUUUUCAUCUUCCAAAAUUCAUCUACCGUAUGAUCUAUAUAGCUAAAGGGCAUGUCUAGGGUGUAGAGGUUCAGAAGAUUGCUUAAUAAUGAGGAAGACAGGCUUUUGAGGGAAGGGAUAUUCAACUUCAAAUAUCUCAAAAGAAAUAAAUUUUCAAUUCCGGAUGGAUACUAGAUGAGAACAAGAGAUUCCAAGUCCAACACUCUGAGAAGUUUGAACAUUCCACAAAUUUUCUCCCAAUCUAUGGGGUCAAUGUGGCGGCUUUCUGGAGAGCAGCACAAGAAAGAAUGCAGUUGCGAGUCAUAAUCAUCUAAGCAAGCAAAAUCACUCUGUUGUUCUAAAGUGUAGAAACGUUUGACAUUUUUUUAUGAUUUACCUUCUAUAUCCAUGAAAGGGGAAAAGAUAAAUUCCACCUUGGAAGCCACUCCUAACAAUACAGGACGGCAACGACCGGGAAUAGAGCAUGUGUUGAUUGUGCCUCCAGCUCUUCUCUUAUUUGCUUCGACAAAGCCUCUGUUGAUUAGUUGCUCUAAGUACUUCUUAGCAGUUGCCUCAUUAUUGUCUUCAAUGAAACCUUCAGCUAUCCACAGUUGAUAUACAUGCCUGGUGGAUAUCUCUAAGUGUGCGGGAAACACUGAGAAGUAGAGAAAACAAGGUUUCAAGCAAAAAGGUGACAUACAAUAUAUGAUACAUUGAAGCCCAAGGGACAUGGUCAAUACUUUGUCUAUAUUUUCUUCCAAUGAGAUGCUUCCAUGAUACAAGAUGUGGAAAGGCCAUCCUUGGUAUGUAGCUCUCAAUAGUCCUCCAGUGGGCACAAAAUCAAGCCCAAUGUUCUCUCCGUUUUCGAACUGAAAUGAGGUGACAAUCUUAAUUUGAGCGAGUGUUAUUAAUACUCUACUUCCAUUCUGAUUAUCGGGAAGUAUUUUUCGAAUAACAUCCCAUGCUGAUAUUCUCCACACAUGAUAAAAAAAUAAUCAAAUACCGCUUGGUCAUUAGAUAUUCACGAGGAAUAUUUUUUUUAUUUCAUAAUUUUUAUCCUUCAUUUCACUCAGUCUAGAUGAAGGCAUUAGAAACUUAAUAAUGAUAUCUAAUAUUCGGUGAGCAUCAUAGCUGUGAGGCUCUGGAACCCAAGCGUGACAAUCAAAAUAAUGCUUCACAUAGUUGCUGCUGUAAGCUUCUGCGACGAAAGCCGUCUUGUCCAAUCCAAUGCUAUCAAGUAUGGCCACUGCUAAAAGUUGAUGUGGUCCUUCUAUCAAUAGAUCUAACAAAUCCUCCAUUCUAUCAUCUAGACCCACCGUGUCCCUAUUCUUAGACGAUGAAGAUGCAAGAAAAUUACCGGCUUCAGCUUCAAUUGAUUUGACUUCAUCAAUGAUUCCGGAAUCGAAGUGCUGAACUUGUUGCAUCCGUUGUUUUAUAUCAAUGAUUUUGCUUUGGAGUCCUAGCAGAGCAUCACAAAUGUCCUUGCUACGCCUGCUUUGUCUCUUCUGUUGAGUAAUGCUGUUGAUGAAUGUGUCAAUGAACUUCUCAGAUUCAUAAGUAAAGCAAUUGAUUUCAUCCAUAACGGUCCCAAGAUCUGGGUUGUCAAUUUCAACUUCUCCUAUUUUUUGCAUCAAAAGGCAAGAGAUAUCAUCUUCAAAUUCACUCAGCCAAGAAGUAACGAUUUCAACCUCCGCAUGAAGGUUCUGAAUAGGUUGUUUUGCAGCAUCAGGCAACGUGACUUCUUCACCAGCUAACACCCGUCCCAGCCUCUCGGAAAAUAGUCUGAAGUUGAUGUCCAUAUCUCCUCCUCUCUCUGUGCCUAGUGGUCCUAACAUGCAAAUUGAGACAUAAUUGAGAGAGACAAUGAUUAAAAGAUUAAAAAAAUAAUAAUAAGAAAUUUCCA
RNAcentral lists this long non-coding RNA (67194 nucleotides) under Citrus sinensis (sweet orange). Its description in RNAcentral is "long non-coding RNA (CSIN_LNC000105)". Lineage: Eukaryota; Viridiplantae; Streptophyta; Magnoliopsida; Sapindales; Rutaceae. The record is from RNAcentral.